Long non-coding RNA from Mus musculus (house mouse), 47437 nucleotides. RefSeq annotates it as predicted gene, 41959. Lineage: Eukaryota; Metazoa; Chordata; Mammalia; Rodentia; Muridae. The transcript has 2 exons. The record is from RefSeq and is a predicted model, not a curated record.
CCUUCCUUUCUUUCUUUCUUUCUUUCUUUCUUUCUUUCUUUCUUUCUUUCUUUCCUUCUUUCUUUUUCAACCAAAGUUUUUAGUGUUCAGGACAGCAAAGAGGCAGAUAUUGUGGCUUGAAACAAAACACAGCAAUAUAAAAAGAAGCACACUUUUUGUGUGUGUAUAUGUAUGUACAUGCACAUGUGUAUGUGUAUUUAUGGAGCUAUGCCACAUAUAUACAGGUUCUUAUGGAGGUCAGAAAGGGACUCCAAUUGCCCAGAAUUUGACUUGUAGGCUGCUAGGAGCUACCUGAUAUGGGUUCCAGGCAAGUCCUGUUGAAAGAAUAGCAGUGUUCUUAAUCACUGAGCCAUCUCCCCAGCCCCAUGAGAAAACUUCUCAGAAAACAUCUACCCAACAAUAGAGAUUUUAACUAAGUGAAUUUGUCAAUAACUGUACUUGAGAGAAAACAACACAUGAAAAUGAGAUGAUCUCUUUUUUGAACUACCCAAAGAAGAAGAAAGAGUUAUGAAAUAUAACUAAACAGCCUAAGAAUGCCUUUGAAUUUUGAGAACAUUUUGUUUUCCUGUAUAUAUUCCUUAUCAUAUCUUGGCAUUACAACUUGGACAAUGACUGCCUACUAUUACUUAUAAUUACAUCAUAAGCAUGAUGUCAUAAAAAGCUGUGAUGCUAGGACUCUGGAAGCUGAGAACAGAGUAAGCCACCAGACCUAUAUGGUCCACACAUGGAGAUGCUGCCUCAAAAAUCGCCGUCUUUAGAAGUACAACCUGGGAUAUGAAUUUUGUACUUAUCUUCCCAUCAAGAAUCAUUUUUCCUGAAUCAAGAGCCACCAGAAAUAUGUCAUUUGUGUGCACGUAGGCAACCAUUCUCCCUUCAUAAUUUUUGGAAGGUCUUCUGGACAGGUUAAAACUGACUUGCACCAUUGCCAAAUUUACUUUAGCUUUUAUUUCUCCUCCCGGGGCUUUGGAAGCAUUAAGAAGUUCAGCUUUGCUUAAGGUUAGCGGGUCAUAAAUAAACCAAAGCAAUUUCUUUGCUUUGAGCAAGAGGGUCAGAGAAUACAUGAAAUAUCACUUUUAAGCAAAGCAAACUUUAACAUGAAUUGACAGAGGAGCAUGAAAAAGAAGCACAGUGCGCCUCAGUAAAAGGCCACAGGGAUUCGGGAUGCUGGGCUUGUCUGUUUUAGAAAUAGACUGUAUAUCUUGUUUGAUGACCUGUAUUUAAUUUAAGUGACUGCCUCUGCCAGUCCUUUCCAGAGGGCAAGUGUGUGAAAUAGAGCAUCUCACUGUCACUCUGCAGCCCUCUCUUCUGCCGGAUGCCUUGACCUGAAUUGGGAUGGGGGCAUUGAUCUGACAAAUGAGAGGGAAGGAGAUGGCGCUGCCACGCACAUUUCAUCCUUAAAUUCUAGUCAGCUGGAAAUUGUCUUCGUGGUCUGGGGUAGGAACACAUUCAUAAGCUCAUUAAAAACUAGUUUUCUGCUGUGAAUAUGACUCUUUUCAAAAUGCAAGAAGUAAGAAAUGUCAUACUCGCAGUAGGAAACAUUACUGCCUCCUCCUUUCCAAAGCAAGCGCAUGCCCUCUGUGAAAUAUGAUGAAGAAGAUUCCAGAAUGACUGGAGUUGGUGUUCUCAAGACGCCACUUCUUAAUGUCCAUGUCUAUUUCUGUUGGGGUAUCAUUUAUCUGUUCAAGAAAUCUCAUGAAAUGUCUCUGCUCUAGCAAUUUUCUCUUCCCAGUCAGACAGAUAAGAGCUCAAGUUACAAGUGCUCACUCUUUGGGAUUAUUAUCAUAAUCACAGGGUCCUCUGCCCAUCUCAGUAGGAAAGGUGAAAGCAUCAGAGAGGCCAAAAUGGAGGCAGUACGGUUAAAGAGCUCAGCGGAGACCAUAGGCAUUGGUCUCCACCGAAGGGAAAUAGGACAGUCACGCCAAAGCUUGACUGAAAGACAGUCAUCACUUUAGAGAUGAGGGCCCAUAGGAAUGAUACUCCUCUCUUUCAGCACUGUUGUAAUCUACAUUAUUCGCCCUACAAAAUGUCUUAUCGUUUUGCUUUCUGAAAGUAAAAUGUCCUAGUAGUCUAUUUAAUAAAAAUGUCAGUGAUUGAAACAAACAAACAAAUAAACAAAACACUGGAUUGAUUUUUAAUGUACAUAUCAGCUACAUUUAAGUAUAAGAAACCCACACAGUUUAGUGUAAUACAUAUACAUCAUAAAUAUUUUAUGCUUUCCAUUUAAAAACAAUAUACAAACUGAAAUGUUUACAGUAAUAAAAAAAGACUUAAAAAUGAACCAAUAUAACUCCAACAUGAACUUCUCCUUUAUUUGCAGAUAUUUUAAAUAUAAAUGAACCUUAUAUUUAUUUUCUAUUACAUCUAUUUGGGACAAAGGGCACAGAUAUGCUAGGCCUUUCAUACAGAGGCCAGAGGAAACCUUUCAGGAGUUGUUUUUUUCUCUUUCUACCAUGCAAUGAUGGGGAUCUAAUUCAAACUGAUAGGCUUGGUCAGCAAGAGCCUUUAGUUGCACAGUCAUCUCAUAUCUAUACUUUUACAUUUCUUUAGUCUUUUAAGAUGCCUAGUCAGGCUGGCCUCAAAUUCUUGAUCUUCCUGUCUGUCUCAGCCUCUCAAGUGGUGGGACUAUUUAUGGUAAGUGUGAACCACCAUGUUUGCGUAUUGAACAUCCCUUUCUAAUACCCAACAAAUAUUAUUUUGCUUACAUCUCUCACUGUAGAAUAACUGUUAUCAUAUGCUGCGUUUUUAAAUGUGGCAGUAGUUGAAGUCUACAUUUCAUCUCUGUUUGUGAAGUUUUCUGUGCAGUACUUUAAAAAGGAGCACCUCCGAGGUGAUACGAGAAAAUGAACACAAGAAGAGUACUAGAACUCAGGCAAAGGCUUGGGACUCGCCACAAGGGCUCAGUUAUAUAAGCCCUCUGCCUGGAUAAAAUCUGCAUAAUAAAAUCCUUCUCAUUUAGACCACCUAGUUUCUGUAAAACCUCCAUGUAACAGAUACUCUAUAAAGUAUAGCAUUCCUUCCAAUCAUUACUUAAAGGCCAAAUUAAGUCCAGGUCUCCUAAGUAUUUAAUGUCUUCCCAUUAAAAAACAAAACAAAACAAAACAAAACAAAACCUGUCUUUUAAAUUCUAAAGUUGAAAUUCUCAUAUAUAGACACACAUGCCCAUAUACAAUGUUCUUAUAAGUAUAUGCAACAAACAUUUACUUUUAAUUGCAUGUUGUCAAGCCCAGAAAGCCAGGCUGCGCUGCUGCAUUCCCAGCAAGCUAGAAUGCUCUGUAGCAGUGGUGUUCUUACCUGGCUGGUAGGUGGUGGUGACUGACAGGCAGGAAGAGUUCUUUCUAGACAGGUACUUCUGAAGACGGUGAUGGCUACGUAAAAGUAACAAUUAAUCUUAAGCUCUUCUAAAGUUAGGAGCCCUUGAUUAACCUGAUGUAUCUGUCUUUAUCGUCAGCACUAUGGCAGUGUGAGGACGGUGAUUAUUCCUGAUCAUCUGUCAAAAUGGUUGCUUGUCCUUGGGCUUCUGUCCUACAUUGCUUUAAUUUAAAUCAUUAUAUCACACAGAUGUGCACAACUGUGCUUAAGAAAUUUAACCAGGCAUCAUUUAGAAAAUGGUGUCCACUAGAAAACCCUUUCAGUUCUCUCUGUGUGUCUCUCCCUCCCUCCCUCCCUCCCUUUCUAGUGUGUUGUGUAUCUGAUGUAUGUAUUUUCUGAAAUUGAUAAUUCUUCCUAAAACAAGGAAAGAGGGAAAUAGAGAAAGAAGAAACAGAGUUUAUUUUAUUUCCCCAACUCAAGAACUAUUUUAAAUAAAUCAGGCUGAAAUAUCCAAAGUAUUUUUAAUUUUUAAGUAAUUAUUACAUAAAUCCCUUGUUUCUCUUUCUUUUACUCCCUCCAAACUCCCUCCUAUGUAGAUCUGUUAUUUAGAAUUGCUAAUUAAUUGGUGCAAUCUUUUCUGGGGAAAACUGUUUUGUCUACUUUCAGCAUUCCUUAGUUUCUUAUAUUUCUUUGACUCGUUAAUGAUAGAGCCAAAUAACUCAUUGAUAUGAAAAAUUAACUAGGGUUAAAUUAUGUUUCCAUAGAGCUCACAAUGACUGAAAGUCACAAUAACGUGAAACUUAGAACAAACACUGAAAUAAACCAUUGAGCCAGAAUUGAAGCGAGGAUCCUGUUCAUGAAAAACUUACAGUCCUAUCAUGACUACAGACGGUGGCAUUGACAUAGUGGGCAGUGGUUAAUUUUUAUAGAAAAAAGGUCCCCCAGAGCUCCCAGGACUCUUUACCGCCAACCAAAGAGUACACACAUGGGAGAAGCCAUGACUCCAGCUGAAUAUGUAGCAGAGGAUGGCCUUAUAGGGCAUCACUGGCAAGGGAGCCCCUUGGUCCUGUGGAGGCGAUGACCCAGGGUAGGAAUGCUAGGGUGCUAAGUGCUAAGGCAGAAGUGGGAGGUGGGAUAGGGAGCACCCUCAUAGAGGUGGGGGGAGGGGACAGGAGGGUUUUUUUUUUUAGGGGAAACUGGGAAGGGGGUAACAUUUUAAAUGUCAAUAAAUAAAAUAACCAAUAAAAAUGAAAAUGAAACAAAACAAAACAAAAAUAAGUGUCCUGCCCUUGAUCCAAGACUGUGUAACAGUUGACUCCUCCCUUGACUGGGAAAGGACAGAUAUGUUAACUACAAUUCAAAGUAAUUUUAACAACAUGAAUUGAUCUUUGAAAAUUGAAAAGCAUACACAUAUUAGAAUAAAUCAAACUUUUUCUGGAAAAAGAAUAAAUCAGAAUCUUUGGAAAGAAGCAGAGCUCUUAUUUAUGCAAUUUUUGUUUCCAGUGAAAGAGAUCUAGUAUACACAAUCACAAAAAGCUAAACACAAGACGCCAAUCUAGGCUCUUAAGAUUUUGUUUCACUUGAAACAAGACAUUUCAUUUUUCUGUCUAGAAUGUUAUAUUAUAAAAAUAGUUGAAUUUUUAGGUUUUAAGAAUACAAUUGAACAUCUUUCAAAAUUUCUGUGUUACAUUCAAAAUUCAGUCUCUAACUUAUUCUCUUAAGCUCUCUAUUUUUUGAACUGCAUUCUUUACUUACUAUGUCAUUAAAAUACUUUACUGUUUUCAUAGUUUUAUAAGAUAUUGUAGAUAUAUUUCUGGCUUCAUAAAUUGUCCAGGCAUAUGUUCUCUCAAUCAACAGGGAACCAAAUGUUCUAUACAUUACUCUGUGUGAACAAUGCAUAUAAUACAACUUAUCUUCUGCAGGAUUUUAGUGAGCCUUAAGUUUGUUGUAAAAAAAAAAAGAAUAAUUGAGAUUGUGGGAGAGGGUUUAGCAGCAACAAUAAAUACAUUUCAAAAUAAAAUCUGUGGGAAUUAAAAAAUUAUAAUUUUUUAUACUUAUAGCAGUCAUGAUAUCUUUCCAGGUAACUCUUCUGCAUGGUAUAGAAGAACACAAAACAUUUGAAGUAUAAUCCACCUUUCUAUAAAAUGUUGAUUAUGGCAUGAAACAUAUUAAAUGAUCAUAUUUGAAUAUGAAAUAUGAAAAAUUAUGACUUUUUCUAUGAGUUUUGGUAUAUAUUGCAAAAAUUGGAUGUUUGUUUUAUUGUCUCAAUAAAAAUUGCUGUGUUAAGAGUGAAUAAUCCAAGCAGACGAUGGUGCGCGCUGACCUUCAGGGAUGGAGCCAGGUCAGUUGUGUCGUCUUCAUACAUCCAUGAGGCCAAGAAAAAAUGUCAGCAAACAUUAAAAACUCAAUGUCAUCAAUAUCAUAUUCCUAUGAAAGAUCCAUGACAUUAAACAUGUUGGCUCAAGUUAUAUAUCAAAUAUAUCAUAGCCAUGUGUUUGAAUUACUCCAAGCAUGGAGGCAUUGAUCUUUGACUCUGAUAACUGACCUGUUGCCUAAUGAUCCUAUAUUUUGAUAGCUCCUAUUUCUUAGUUUCUUAGAUAAAGAAUAUUUCUAGAGGGCUCCACCAUUAUACAUUUUUAAAUAGUGCAGAGUAACAAAGUUAUUUAAUAAAUAACCUAUAAUUUUUCUGCUCCUAAAUCUAGCAUCAGGUCAUCAUAGUCCCUGAACAAUAGGAUCUUGUGAAGGCUAGAGUGACUGCGAUAAUAAACUGGAAAAAGGAAAACACUUAAUUUAGACAUCAUUUGAUUUAUGUCAACGUGAAAAUAUUCUUUUUAAAGGGUCUGUUAUACUCUAGACACUUUAGCAAUGCUAUUAUACAUUGUGACUUUGUUUCUUUAGAAACUUACUUGAAAACUAUACCAUACUUGAAUGUGUCUCCAUAGAAGGAGAGACAUGAGAUCAUUUUUCCAUAAUGAAAACUGACCACAUCUUCUCUGUUGGGGUGCUUUCUUCUGAAUUUACAUAUUUUCAGAAAUAUCAAUGGGCUUAAGUUUUCAAAAUCUAUUUGCUAUAAAUGAGAGUUUGUCAAGGACAGGAGUGAACAACCUUUUAUAUUUCUAGCAGAGUAGGAAAUUACGGUUGGCUUUACUGUGUAUAAUUCUAAUACAAUGCCCUGUAAUGAUGAUUAGUCUCGAUAGGGAAUACUUUAAAUCAAAAACACAAUGUCACUGUACUCUACUUUUCAAAGGUAUUCUGAACUAAAUUUAUAAGCAAUUCAUCUCCUGUAUCAUUCAUGCAUGGUUAUUGGAAAUCAACGCAGAGGAAAACUGGCCCGAUUGACCUGUUUAUAUAACUACUUUCAACAAUUCAUUAACCAUUAAUGAUAUACAGGCUUUUUGCUUCCAUUUUUUAAAGAUCAAAAAGUGUAUUGAUUCAAUAAUUUUGGUUCAAACUCAGUUUAGGCACUGAAAAGAAAUCCCCUCUGCAAAUGUAAGCAAACAUACUAUUUUUCCUACGUUCCUGUCUUAAACCUCGAUUUUACCAUUGCCUGGAGGAUGCUAAGCAGCUGCAACAUUCCAAUCAUGUGAGUGAAGCACACAACUGCAGAGGAAGUUAGAUUUCCUGGAAUAGGGGCCAUGCAUACACUGAUUUUUUUAAAAGAAAUUAAGCUUAGUUUUAAAUUUCAAACAUGCACAUUGUAAACAAAUCCACGAAUGUGAAGUACUUUAUAGAGAAAAUGGUUUUACUAUACAAACAACCAGAACAAAUAUUACCCAAAGGAUAAAGAGAAACACUUUAAAAAUUGCACUUAUUCUAUAGUUUAAUUGGCAUUGAAUCAAGAAUAUUGAAUAAUUUUGGACAAGAUUAAAAUAGUGCUGAGAUCUGAUGACCACUGUGAGCUGAGUCCCUCUUCCCUUUAUCAUCUAAUGUCUAAAAAUGUAUUUACUUCUAUUCUUAACACUAUUUCAUUUGUCCAUAUUGGAAAACAUAUUUUUAUCCAAAAUUACACAAGCAAUCUCUGUAAAUUGCAUGUGAUAUAUGCACCUGGAGACUUAAAGGUCUUUUGAUAUUUCCAGGUGAUAUUUAAAACGAGGGAAGAAUAUGUUAGUCUGGGGAUGGGACCCAGACUCUAACCUCAAUGUUACGUAUUUCCCUGUGAAAUGAUUUUCUAAAAAUGAAAGGGACAUUUAAGACCCUUAUCCAAGCCCAUCCUUCUUUGAUGUGAGUCUCUCACACCAAAAUGUAUGCCUGUAACCCCGAGUUGGGCAGAGACAGGUGGAUCACAGUAGUGUAUGGCAAACCAACCUAUACAAAAUGAUAUGUUUCAGGUUUGAUGAGAUACUCUGAUUCAAAAAAUAAGUCAAAAAUUCGUGAAAGAUGAAACUUGGCAUCCCCUUCUGGCCUAUUCAUAUGCAUUUGCAGAUGACCCCUCCUGCCCCUGACUCGACAUGGGUGUUACUGUCACUCUGUCUCCUCUUUCGUCUUUCCACAAGCAUCUUUUUCAAAGCUCCAAUUUACACUGUAACUUGUGGUCCUCAUAUCUUCUUGAAAUUGCAUUUCUUAAUGUUACAUUGCAUUUCUGCUUUUUUUUGUCAAAGGAAGAAAUUUAGAACAACAAACCAAAUUAGUCACCUGAAAAAAAAAAGAGGAUUCCCCAACAUUGCUUCAAACACAUUGACUGGCCUGUAGACCCAAUUCAUUUCUCCCUACACCUUAUAUUUAACUAAGAAAAAUCAUGAUGAAAUUCAGAGGCAUUAUCACCCUAGAGAAAGAGUUUUGAAAAUAUACUACAUGUCAAUCUACUUUUACCUUUAUUUCCUGGUUAAAAACAAAAUAGACAAAGACAAACAAAACCCCUACCAUUUCAGCAAUAACAUUUUUUAAAUGUAUCUGUUUUACUUUGUCAAGAAAGAAAAUGUCUACUAAGUGGAAGUUUAUUAAGCUAAAAUCUCAUCUGUUAAUAAUUUCACAUUAUUAACUGUGUGGCAGAAUUAUGACAAAAGGCACUUUGAAAUGAAUUAUUAAAUUUUAGAAAAUAAUCCAGAUUUCAGUGUCCAUACAAAGUACUCUUUAUUCUGCAGCAUUUCAAAUAAACAAAACUGUGAGAUAACUUUUACAUUAUCCUAAUUAACCCAUGAUUUGAUGGAAACCUUUGGUGGAAUUCCACUAUCUUUACUCUGACAUUAGAUAAUUUAUAUCAGAAAGCUAAAAAUGUCCCUUGGAGAGACAGAGUGUCAACCAUAAGCUCUCAUUCCUGCUAUGGGAAAUAACUGGAGGCAUAUGGAGAAAAGAAUGGGAAGGACCUCAAUUUUCCUCAGCCCUUAGACAUAAUUUUUACUUUACUGCAAGCUGCGUGGAAAGCAUACAUUUUAUAAGCCUUUAUAGUUACUAAAGUUAUGUUAUUGGAAUGGACAGUGAAAUUUUAAAAUUAGAUGUACAUUCAUUAUUAUAAAUUUGCAAUACUUUGGGAGAAAUAGUGGAAUUAAGAUACACACAACAUACUGGAAAUUAAAAACAUCUGUCCCUAAAAUUCAGUACAUUCACACUCUUGUAAACAGCAUAUGUUUUCAAACAUGACUUUCUUCCUUAGCACAGUUGCAUGUGUCUACUGCAUGGUGGGGGCUGGAGAGGAAAAACACAUGUAUUCGAAGUUUCUUAGUGGAUGAAGCUGCAAAAGCCUGAGCCGUUACAGUUAGUCCAAGCAUGACAGAAUGCUUCUAUUUGAAGGAAACUAUGACGGAGUUCAGCAUAAUGAUGUUCCCAGAACUUAUUUUCAUGCUUUUAUACAUGUGAUAUAGGAUCUGUCCUCAGACCUCAGUUAUCAUUUUUAUAGGUUUAAGGAUGCUAUAGGAGAGCUAUAUAAAAACAGCUGUUCUGGAAGAGAUUUUCUGCAGGAAUAAAGAUAAAGUUGGAGGAGGUAGUGAGUGGGGUUACUUUCUGGCUUUACAAUUUGCUUUGGGAUUCCCCACAUAUCAUAAACAGAGAGAAUUGCCACAAAGCCUUACAAAGACACAAGAAAGUUUCAGGAACAGGGAGAUCAAAACAGGAACACUCUACUUAUAUGCAGAAGUGAGCAUGAACACUCCGACUACUAAGUUAAUCAGCAAGCGAAGUCCAUAGGAAAAGCACUUGCUACCCUUCUUCAAUAGGAAGCUUCCUCUGCCUCAAUGUUUCUUAGUGGAAAGACAGAAAGAAGAGAUGGAGGGAGGGAAGACACUGGAAGGAAAGAAGGAAAGAAAAAGAGGGAGAAAUUAAAUAGAAGCUUUCAAAUCCAGCAAGGUGCUGGUCACUGGCAAGGUGCUGGAAACAGAUGAGAUAGUUCUUCUGGACUUGGAAAAGUUCAGGACCUCAAAAAGACUUGGUGGGUUUGCCUGUAAUUCUAGCCUCAGGGAGGCAAGGAGUGAAGGAUCCGGUGUUGAAUUAGCCCCUAAAUUAAAAAGAAGCAAAACAUCAAGGGACAGAGAGGUUGAAUAAAGAGCCAAGCGGAACAUGGGUGCUUCCUGGAACUUAGAGCUCCAGCUCAGUAGAGAGGAUGCCAGUUCUGAUGCAUUAAGAUGUGCUUGUGCCAGGAAUCUUCCUUUUCUCUGCUACAGAGAGUUGAUGGCUAACUAAGCUGAGCUUGCAGUUUUUCCUGCCUUGGCAGUCAUAAAGUUGACUAGAGUAAUAUAUCUACAUCUACAUCUACAUCUUUAUCUAUACCUAUAUCUACAUCUACAUCUAUAUCUUUAUCUUUAUCUUUACCUAUAUCUAUAGGCAUAGAUAUAGGCAUAGAUACACAUAGAGUUGGUUGAAUAAAACAGCAUUGAGCAUUAUUUUCCACUGUGAGACUCAAAGCUACACAAGGAUUUGAUUUAAUUUGAGAAACCACACAUGAGGGAUAGAUACUUAACAAAACCUUUCUAGGUUAGAUUGAUAGACACCAUAUUCAGUGUGGACUUUCAGCUGAAUAUGGGUAGAAAUUUAGAUUAUUUACCAUUUGUUAAGACUAGAAGCAUAUACAUCCAAUCAGGAAAUCUUGAGUAGCUCCAAAGGACUAAUUAUAAGCUAAUGACAAAGUGUCACAUAUUAACGAAGGGAGCUCUAGUUAAUUUUGCAUUUACCAUCAGAAUAGAUGAAUACUUAGAUUUUCAGUCUUAGCAACGAGUCUAAUUUAAUUCUGUUUUUCUUUGUUUCAUGAAAGAAGAAAUUAAGACGUAGACAACGUAAAAAUAAAAUACAUAAAAUACCACAAAAAUUGACCAGGUAUGAGAGGUGUCUGCAUAAUCUAGAGCCAUUGCUUUGAUGGUCUUGAACCUGCUGUCCCAGUGGAGCUUGGUGAAAUUCAUGGGUUAGUCUGUGUGGUAUUUUAUCAGAUUCAUUCCACAUUCAAAGUCCUCUUACAUAUUUAUUUCUGUUAGCUCGGCUCAGAGGUAGAAGGUAGAGAGUUUUGUGUUUCUUGUGGCAGAAUGUAUUUCUUCCUCACCUCAAAUGGCAUUCUCUUUUGCUUCACAAAUACACUUAAAAAUCUGAAACUUCAGAAUUGCUUUAAAUCAAUGUCAUCACAGCAUUGCCCCAUGGAAUGCUAGCAUCUCUAGCCCCAGCCUCCCUUGCCUCACCCAGAGAGCCAUAGGCAAAUACAUUUGAUCUCAAACUGUCACAAAAUAUCAAUGUCUAUUUUGUGUCUUUCCUUCUGAAGAGCACGUUUGCUUAAUGGAUUAUUUCUAGGACAGAGAAUUAUGUCUUCAUACUUAAAGAUAAAAGUGUUUUCUGGUUCUUAAACCCCUGAAUAUACUUCUCUCCUCCCCAUUUCCUCCUCCUCUCCCUUUCCUUUAAUUAAAACCAUUUCCUUUCUUUUCCAUAUCUGUAAGGCAAAAGAUUAAAUCAAGAGUCGAAUAGAGAAGUCAAUUUUACUUGCAGAAACAUAUAUUAAACCUUAAAAUAUAAAUAUAAUAUAAAAUAUAAUUCUAAAUUAUACCUUUCAUUACUCAAUUGAUACCCUGAACUAAUGGGAAAAUAUUCCAGUUCUACCGGACCAUGUAGUGGUCCAUAAGACACAUCUCCAAUAUCAAUUUGGACUUAGGUAUUAUCUUGACUGUUAUACUGGAUUAAAUUUUAUUUUGUGACUUGGUUCAUGCCCAAGCCUUUAACCCAGCAGCAUGCACAUCAGUGGAUUCUCAAAACACAAAACCAUCUGGAAGGCUGUAAACAGAGCAAUAGGAAUGAGAAGUAUGAAGCAUGCAUAAAGGAAAUUUUCAGUGGCUCCAUCUGGCCAGGCCCAAAGCUCAUUCUAGAGUAUGAACUGCUCAAAUCUGUGUCUUAUGAGGAAUGAAGACCUUGUGUGCCUCCUGCAGCUGGACUAUGUAUUUCCAGCUGAAUUUUUAUGUCCCGAGUCUUGGAGAAGAUGAUAAAUUAAUUUCUAGGCCAUAUGUAAAUUUACCUUGAAGUCAGGAAGGGUGUUAUUAGUUUUUUAACACCUAAUUCUUUCCAAAUAGUUUCUACACAUUACUACAUGAACUAAAAUGAAGAAGUCAGAUAGAAUGUGUAACUUUUUCAUUUGAAAUGAGUACUAAAUCAAGUUAAUUACUUUCCAUUUCCACAAAGCUGAGCAGGCAGUUUCCUGAAAGCAAGAGGGACUCAGUUACUUGUCUGUUUGACUCAUGGAUCAGCUGAGGACCUAGCUGUGGUAGCUACUAUCACUCUUAACCCAGAGAAGAACCUAGAGCACAGGGUAAGUGGAACCCCAGAGGCUGAGGAAGGCUGGGCAUGGUGACUUAGUGUCACUCCAGAAACUCAGCUCUCUGGUGACAGCUCUCAGGCAACACACUGGAGGGCCUAGGCACACAAUCUGUCUGAGGCUGAGCUUUGUCUUGGCUAUGCAUUCUUCUUCAGGAGGGCUGGCCCAUAAAUCAGAGGCCCAAGUCUGUCUAAGUCAGACUCUGGGAGGCCUAGGCAAUUGUCUGCACUGGGCCUCUGCGCCAGGUGAUUAGGGGCCUUGCAGGGAGGUUCUCAAAGCCUGAAUUAUAUAACAGCCAUUAAUUAGGCCAGCCAAAAUUGAAGUAGGGAAAUAAGGAAUGGAAUUAAUUUAUAACGUAUAGUAGGCAGUCUGCCCAAUUGCUUUGGCCUAGGAUCAUAAUUAAAAACCUACAUAGUCUCUACUACGUGCAGAGUUCUUUUCCAUCUUUCUGUAACACAUAUUGAACCUAAAUGCAGUAUAUGUUUUUUCUUUCACAACAUCUUCUAGGUGCAUUAUGUUCACUGGUAUACAAGAAUUAAAUGAUGCACAGGCAUGGCCUCUGAUCUAAAAACUCCCAGGGAAGUGGUUUCUGUUUUUGGAAGCUUUGUGGUAAUAAAGAAGGUCUGGUCACCUUGCAGAGGAAUACUAAGUGAGUAGAGACAUUUCUCUUCAAGAUGCCAUUAUCUUUAUUGAAAACAGAAAAUGCGGGAAAUAUAGAAAUUAAUAAGAAAUUAUAUAUAUGUAUAUAUAUACAUACAUAUAUAUGCUAAAGCAUACAUUUUAUAUUCAUCCCUGUCUUCUUGCUUAGUGAACAUAUAAAAUAUACACAACAGAUAUAGGUGGUCAAGCUCUGCAAAACAUUUGCUCUAAGGCAGUUCCUUUUGAAGAGGUAGAGUAUGGCCAGACUUCUAGUUUAUUAGUGUGUUUAUAAGCUCAAACAACAGGUUACAAUGUAGUACCCAUGGCAAGAAAUCAUUUCAAUGAAUGAGCAUUUAAAGUAAUUUAAAGUGAGUAAAAUUUCACAACCUGGGGUAAUGGACACAUAUAUUAUGUAUAUUCAGAUUAUGUGCGGAUGCUACCAUGCUCAGUUCACAGUUUAUACAGUGAGAUUAUAAACUGUCUCAUUAUUCAUCUGUGGACACUCCCUAAGUAGAACUUUGUACAGCUCCUUCUUAUCCUGAAUCCUGUUGGAAAUCUUUGUGUUUGCUGUGAUGGUUACUAAUCACAUAGCUAAGAAGACAAUGGCAUGCUCUUUUCUCCCUCAGUUACCAUCAUAUAUACCUUCACUGUGAUAGCGAUGUGAUAAAUCUCUUGCACUGAAUCCCCAGAGAACCUCUCAGUAGCUCCUACCCCUCUGUUUGGUAGGCUAUCUUCUCAAAUCAAAGUCCAUAGAUGAUUUGAACUCUCUGUAUUUUUUGUUUAUUUGUUAUUGUUGUUUUUUCCCUCUUGUCUCUGUCUUCUCUGUUUCAUUUGCAAGAUGCCCUUGCCAUUAGCAGAGCAUCCCAGACGGAGGGCACCCUUGACCCCCCUGGCACAUGCCAUCUUUUGGUCUAGAAAGCUGGACUGGCUUUUUUCACUUCAUUUAUGCUUCUGGUCCAGCAUGACUCUUUGUGGCUUGGCUAGCUGUUUCAAAACAGCAGCCCUGUCCUUCUAACUAUGAAUUGAGUCUAUUCUACUGUGCUCAAUCCCAUACAUCACUACAGGCCAUUAUGCUAGAUAGUAUAGUUAUUAAUUAUCAUUAUUAAUAUAAUCAUUGUCCAUAAAUUAUGCAAACUUAUCUUAUAUAUAGUAUAUAAAAGUGUAUCUAAUAUAUGUGUGCAUAUAAGAUGAGCUGUGUGCACAUAUGUGCACAGAUAUGUCAACAGUUUCCCUCUAGAAUUUUGGUACAUAAACAACCACAAACCAGCAAGAAGGAAAGAAGUAAAAUACGAAGCCUGUCAAGCCACAAGAACUAAAGAUUUCAAAUAACGGUGUGGAGAAGAGAAUAUGAAAUGAAAUGAUGGUAGAGUUAAUACCAAAGUACAUGAGUUUUCAGUCAGAACUUGGCACACAGAAGGAACUCACCCUGCCAUGUUUAUAGGAAUAACAUUUAAGAGGGUAAGGUAAACACUAAGAUUUGGGUGCUACAUAAGUCUGGGGUCAUUAGUCCAUCUGCUGACUGUGUGUCCUGUGAGAAGAGAGCUUCUGUCAUACAGGCAGUUUUGCUUUGUUUUACACUGUUGUAUUUAAAGUCUGCGAGGGAAAUUUCUGUUCAAACAUGGUAAAGUGCCUUAAACAAGCUAAUCAUUUCAAUUUCUCAGGGAGAAAAUAAAUACACAUCAGUUAAUUAACUAGCUCCAAAUAACCAGGACCUGACAGUGCACUUAAAAUAGCACUACUCAAUAAGUCUACCUCUGCUGCCCAUGAUGAACCAUGACUUUCUGCUCUACCAACAGCUCCAUGUGUCUCUGCAAGCAAGGAUACAUGGUAUAUAGACUUAACAGGAGAUGGAAACUUCUCUGGGUCAUGUAUUUUUAUCCUCAGUUUUAAAUAUAAUUGCAGAGAGGGUAACAGGUUUCCCAAGGUCAGAUUGAGAACUGUCUGAAUCAAAAGCUGCUAUAACCAUCACUGCAGAGACUCACAUGAGAAACAAAACAAAACAAAAAAACAAAACAAAACAAAACAAAAAAACCUCGUGUUCCUUUAAUUUAGAACUAUGUAGCUUUGGAGAAUACCUUUUCCUCCAUAACUAGGUUUCCUUGGCUGUAAUAUGCAAAUCUCUGACUAGGAACUCUAAAUAUUAUCCUAUUUUUUUUCUAAUUGUCAUAAAGUUUGCUGCCAUAGGUAUUUCUUUAAAUGCUGACUUCUUGAAGAAAAUAUUCUCAAAAGGUUGGCUUUAUUUUUGAGCAAUGUUGAACAAUUUAAGCAACUUUGAUUGAUGAAAGAGAUGAAUAGAAAUCAUGCACAAUGAAGAGUAGAAGCAAUCCAAGGAGAGGGAGCUCUUGACAGAAGCAGGGAGCUUCCACAUCUUAUUAGGGAAACAGCACCUAUCCUUGACUGAGCUCUGUAUGUCUGGGAACCGAGAGGAGAGAGAGGCAGGAGGGUGACUGAAGCUGCUAAGCCUGGACUUAAAAUGUGUAUGAAAAGCUUUGGUACCUAGCUUCCUAGGUAUCAUCCUAAAGCGUUUGGGUCCUACUCAAGGGGCAACAGAGCGUAGAUACAACUUCUACAGUCACCUGAGCCAAGGGUAGUCUUCUAAAACUAUAUGAUAGCUUAUGGCUGGAAUUAAUCAGUUUCUCAUUCUCAUUUCUUUGACAGAAAACUUUACAAGGCAAGGUAGACAAGGAGCAAAUGGGGCUUUGAAAAGUUACUAGAAUAAAUUUCAAAGGUGUAAGGGCAGGAUUGAAAAACUUUCCUACCUCCCUUCUCCCUGCCCUCUCCUGAAACAUUGUCGCUGUCGCCCAUGUAGCUCAUCUUAGAAAGAUAAAUAAACACAGCAACUUACUGUCAAAAUGACAGGACAGCAAUGACAAUAGGAAAACUAAAGGAUUGGUUAGGUCUUAAGAAAUCUGUUAGUAUGUGAGUUCAUGCAUUACAGAUGGGAACUGAAGGGUCCUCUAAUUCACCUUUUCCAUGGUCAAGACAUUAAAGAAUGAUAAAGAGACUGAUGAGAACAACCUCUGAACAGGCGUGAACUUGCUCGUUCCUUCCCUCUCUCUGCUCUCUCCUCCUCCUCCUGCUCAUUCUUAUUUAUGCUCUGCAGCAGCCAUCUGUGUGGAAAUCCCACAAAGCUUCCUUUAGAGCGCAUCUUCGAUGGUCAUUGUACAGCCUGGUACUCUUUGUUGACUCUCCUGCGGGGAGACCCAUGAAUGCCCUUCACUUUGAGUGGAGGGCAGUCAUUCUAUACAAUUUACAUGACCAGUUGCAUGCUAAUGUAUUUACUAGAAAACUUCAUUACAAACAGUAUAGUUUUCAUUAAUCACCUGGAAAGUGCCUUAAAUUUUAACUAGAAAUAUGCUUUUAACAAAAAUGUUUUUAUUUGUUUUUGUUGUUGUUUUGUUUUGUUUUUGCUUUUGUUUCCAAGUACCUAAAUGCACCUAGACUUCUGAAAUUUGACCAUCUAUAAAAUUAUGGCUACUUCUAAAUUUAACCUUUAUAUUAAUUCAUACUAAAUCAAUCAAAUUAGUAUUAUAUAAAUGUAAAUAAAUUAAUUCAGCACAUCCAAGCAUGGUAAUACAUCAUUGAAACCCUAGUGUUUGGGAGGGUGAAGAUAAUUUUGACUUUGAGGGCAAUCUCAGUUACAUACUCUGUCCUCCAACGUUCCAGAAAACUAUCCAAUGCAAACUAUGUUACCACUACAGGGACAAAUGCUAUACAUAACUAUACUGCCAAUGCAAUUAAUACUGAAUUUCAUUGUGUUUUAUAGUGGUUAAUUAUAAAAAAAGAAAAAAAAACCAAAGGAGUCAUUAUACCAGUGUUUCAACUUAAAAAAUUACACAUGUAAAUAUAGGACAAAAUCUAUUUUAUAGUGACAUAUAUGUACAUGCUUAACAAUAUUUUUAUGCCUUAAGUAAUGAGUUCCCUAGGAAUGAGUUGGCAUGUCAGUUACACUCUUAGCUUUCCUUCCCCUCAAGUCCUUAUAGUAUGUGAAAGAUGACAGACAUGGAAUCCCACAUUAUCUCCUCUUGUUCUUCCUUUUUCCUCUCUUUAAGUCAACUGCAUGCAUUCUCUUUAAAGCCCCAUUUUACCCAACUACCUCAUAAUGUUAUAGAAUAUGUAUCUUAAGUAACUUCAAAUUGAUUUUUUUAAUUAAAAAGUCACUUUGGUCUUGAGUUGUAUAUGUUUCUAUAAGCAAAAAUUUAAAAGUGAAAGGGAGCAUAUUAAUAUAGAAAAGACAUAUGUUUCAAAAGCUUUAAAACAAGUGGAAUUUAGAGGAGUAUUUCACUCAAACAAAUGAUCAAACUAGGUGGGCAGUGGCUGGCUUUUUCAAGUUAAUGUCUAAGAAACCACUUGUUCUGGAAAAACAAAUGAGCCAACUCAGAAAGCCACCACAAAACGACUUGGCUAAUAUUAGAUAACUUUUUUUUUUGAGAAAAGAAUCAGACCAAAUAGCUAUUCUUCUUUGGAAAUGAAAUUUGCUGUAUUAAUAUUUCAGAAUGUUUGUAUGUUUAAUAAUUAUAUCAGAACUAUUGUAUCUGAACUAUUUUAGAAUUAUUACCAUUUUUAAAACAAAUAAAAUAACUUUUAUAUUAUUUUACCAUUGGGUUACUAUUAUUAUUAUUAUUAUUAUUAUUAUUAUUAUUAUUACCAUAAUUGUCAUUGUAUAUUUUGGCCUUCCAUUAUUAAUUAGCAUGAUGUUCUCUUACACUAAUUAAUUAAAAUUUGGAGAAAUUGACAUUCAUCGAAGAAGAUCAAAGCUGACCUAAGACAGGAGUCUCAGACAGAGACUCCUGCUCAGACAGAGACUAUGGGAGUUUCAGGGAAUGCAGAUCAGAGCCUGGAAUUCCAUGUGAAGAUCUGUGGGUGGAACCCUGUGGUUAUACAUAUAAGAAGGACAUUUGUCUUAUAGGGCAUGCACUAAGGAGCAAAGUGGCUCUAUUAUCUAUUUUCUUAAUAAGCCUCUUGGAAAGUAGUGGUCUAGAAGAUUUUUUUAAAUGUACUUCAUGAAUAUAUUAUGAAUUAUGCACCACAUAAAUUAUUUGUUAUUAAUUAAAUUAUUUAGUGACUUCAUUGCCUGUCCUCUCUUCUGUGUAGAAAGCUGUUUAUUACAAGGGAAGAUAUGUUGAUGGAAUGACUAGGGUUGGGACUUUCUCAGGCAUAUAAAGAAAAAGACAAGUUUAGUAGCAUUGUGCUUGUUCAUUUGCAUUCGUGGGUGAAAAAUGGUAGUCCAGUUCUUUGGCAUGGAACUAGGUUAAUCCAAUGAGGAAGGAGUCAUAUCUAGAUUUGGCUGUGUGUGUGCAAGCACAAACAGAGUUUCUAUUCCAGGAAAUUCAAUACCAGUUAAAUGGAAAAUAGUCCUGGUGAUAAUGACUGAACUUCUUCAUGGACAGGUAACUAGUACUUCGGAAGAUCCUUAAGUGUGCUGUAGAAGAGAAAUGUUUUAAUUCUCUAAACAUGUUUGUGAUCUUUAUGCUCUGACGGCUCGGAGGUUAAGAACACUGGCUGCUCCUCCAGAGGUUCUGAGUUCAAUUCCCAGCAGCCACAUGGUGGCUCAUAAUCAUCUGUAAUGAGAUCUGGUGCCCUCUUCUGGCCUGCAGGUGUACAUGUAGACAAGACCCGAUAUAUAUAAUAAAUAAAUCUUUUUGUUUUUGUUUUUGUUUUUUGUUUUUUAAGAAAUGUCUUUCAACAUUUCUUCUUAAAGGCAAUGAGACUAAGGCUUAAAUAUUUUGCUCUUAAACCCAACAAAUAUAAAACAGGAGGCUUGCUCUCCUGACCAAAGAAUUGCAGGAAUGUUGGUGCACACCUAUGAUCCUAGCUCUUGAGAGGUGGAAGCUGGAGAAUCAGUUACAUAGUGAGUUCUAGGCCAGCCUGGAAUACAGGGACCCAUGUCUUUAAACAAACAAGCACACAAAGAAACAAGACAAUGGAUUAUGGUGAGGAGGUAGGCAUGAUGCCAGUCUGUAAUAGAAGCACUAUGAGACUAAGGCAAGAGGACUGAGAGUUCAAGGUCAGCCUGAGCAUCAUAAGAAAGCAAAACAAAACAAAUAUAAUAUACAGCAUGUUGCAUACUUGACAUAAUCUGUUUAAGUGUUACUCUGUUUACAUGGCUUUGACCUAGCUUUUAGAAAUGUCAUGGUAAAUUAACUUCAGUGAAACCAGUGGCGGCUGUGCACCACAUGGAUGAUAGAGACAGGGGAACAAAAAGAACCAGCACUCCGAAUGAAUUAUAAGCUGUGAGAUUCCCAAACACGAUCCAUCUUCCAGAGAUCAUGUCUCCAGAGAUGGGCAGCCAACUGCACUAUGAUCUACUGCAAUGCUUUUUAAAGAAUUCAUUCAGCAGAGGGAUGCUGAGAUGUAUGGUGUAUGAAAUGAGUUUGAUAGGAGAAAGGCAUGAGCUGGUACUCUGUCUUGGCCCUUUAAUAAUGAGUGGAGUGUAUGACAGGUUUUUGUUUUUUAGCCCUGGCUGUCCUGGAACUCACUCUGUAGACCAGGCUGGCCUCGAACCCAGAAAUCUGCCUGCCUCUGCCUCCCGAGCGCUGGGAUUAAAGGCGUGUGCCACCACGCCCGGCAUGACAGUUAUCUUUUUAAAAUCUCACUUUAUUCUCUGCUACAAUGGGUAAGGAAGGUCAAAUGAGACUCCUUAAUGGUUGAUCUAUAUAUACAUCUAUAGACUUACCUAACCAGUAUUUAUUAACUUAUAGACUAUAGUGACUAUAUUAAAAAUAUACAAUACUUUUGUGAUGGCUAUUUCAUAUCAUUGCAGUCCAUAAUUUGAAGAAAAAACAAGAAUUGCCUCUAUAAAAUGCAUAAGAUCAUGUUAUCAGGGAGAAUUCUCAGUUUUACAAGAUUGAAGUUAAGAAGAGCGGAAUGAAUAUUACAUCAACACUAUAGUUUUAGUCAUUAGAAAAAAAAAGAAACAUUCAUGUCAGAAAAUAUUUUAAAAUUUAAAAAACUUAAAAACAAUUAUCAGCAUCCUGCUUUCUGUCUAUCCAAAGAAAGCACUAAUAACAAACCAAAAGCGUAGUACCCAAGAUCAUACUGGCAAAAACACGGGUGUUCCUACCUUCAUACUGACAGAAGUCACAUGUACAUAAGGACAAAAAUCACAAGAUCAAAGGUGCUUGUGUCAUCAAGAUCACAGGUGCUGAUAGUGACAAAAUCACAGGUGCUUGUAGCAAGAUCACAAAUGUUCUUACUGACAAGAUCACAGGUGCUCUUACGGACAAGAUCACAGGUACUUACACCUUCUUACUGAUAGAUCACAGGUGCUCACACCUUCUUACAGGUAGAUCACAGGUGCUCACACCUUCUUACAGGUAGAUCACAGGUGCUCACACCUUCUUACUGAUAGAUCACAGGUGCUCAUACUCUCUUACUGACAAGAUCACAGGUACUCAUACUCUCUUACUAACAAGAUCACAGGUACUCAUCCUCUCUUACUGACAAGAUCACAGGUGCUCUAUACUGACUUAUGCAAGUUUACAAAAGGAUCUUUAUAGCCCAAAAGCACUGAAAAUAAAAGAUUCAACAAUUACUUUGGUGAUUUGUUGUUGUUGUUUGUUCCUUUUAGCAUUAUUCAUGACAGGCUAAAAGUUAUUGAGUUGAAUGAAUGGUGGGUAUAUACAUACACACACACACACAUAUAUAUGUUUGUAUAAUGAAAAAUUAUUUGGGAGAAAAAGAAUAUUCUUCCUCCAAAUGAAUGAAAUCUAAGGGCCUUGUAAUAAUUGCAAUGAGCCAAUUAAAGGAAGGUUAUCCUUCCAUGUGAAUUAAAUAGGAGAGCCUUGAGAUAAUUGGAAUGAGCCAAUCAAGUGACUAUACACUUGUUCAUAUGAUAUAGCAGAAUAGUCAGAUCCAGAGAUACAGAGAGUGCAAUGGCAGAUGAUGGGACACACUGGGCAUAUGUUGUAUUGGGGAUGCAGUCCUUUGGAAGAGUAAGAAUGUUCUAGACAUGGAUGGUAAUUUGAGCUGUUCUUUAAAUGAAUGCUUUGUAGCAUUAAAAUAUAUUUUUCAUAUUAAGUGCAAAUUCUAUUAGUGUUGACCUCAUAUAAUAAAAAGUAAAUUUGGAUAAAAUAAACUGACUUAGUAAAGCUUUGUAAAGUUACUCAAGUAGCCACUAAUAUGUAUUCAUAUGCACAAACAUAUUUCACUCAUUUAGAUCUGUAAAGAAAGCCUUGUUGAGUUUCAUAUCACAAUAUUCUAAAAGGUUUUACUCUUCCCAUAUGCACUCCAAUCCUCCAAGUAUAACAGUUCAUGGCUUCAAUUCCAGCACUGAGGAGGCAGAAGCAAGCAGUUCUCUGUGAGUUCCAGGAUAGCUUGGUUUACAUCACUCAUUCUAGGCCAGGAGAGUUUCAUGCUGAUAUCAUGACACAGAAUAAAACAUUAUAAGAAACCUAAUUAAACCAACAGGAGACAAGUGGCAUUUUACAGACUAAGCAGGUUGUACUUAUAUAUUGACAAAUACAUAUGUGUAUAUAUGUGUAUUGACAAAUUAUAUAUAUAUGUAUGUGUAUAUAAUACAUAUAUACACAUAUAUAUAUAUAAUACACACACACACACACACACACAUAUAUAUCACACAAUGGGCUCCCCCCCCCAAAAAAAAUCUAUCCCGAAUCCUAGGCAUGAAUGGGGAGGAGAGUCAUAGAGUCAUAGUGUAAAGUUGACAAUUCCCCACAUGUGCAGAGUUUCCUCUCUAUGAUAGCACUUCCAGAUAUGGCUAUUCCUUCUUUUCCAUUGCUCCUAACAAAAGAAAAAUGUAUUUUAAUUGAAACAUUAUAGUGUGUGGAUCUAUUUAGCUCAACAUAUCUGUCAGUAAAAUAUGUGUCAUGAUUUUUUGCCAAACAUUAAUUCAAUGUGGGCACAUUUAACCCAAUUCAGUAGAAGAACUAAAUUGUCCCUCUUCUCAAUAAAUAUAUCUGUCAUUCCUUACUUGGCUUCUUAGGGAAGUGAAACAAUGUUGUAUUGUCUUAGAUAGUCCCAAUUUGAGAACUAUCAGCACAGUUAUUCUUUUUAUUUCCAUGUUUCAGAGAGAGAGAGAGAGAGAGAGAGAGAGAGAGAGAGAGAGAGAUUCUGAAGUGUAGGAAUCCACUUAUUUGUAGUGACUUGCUUUUACCAAAACUGACACACCUUUUCAUAUGAAUAUUCUCAGCUAAUGCUUACUUAAGAGAGUUUCAGAAAACAAAACAAAACAACAAAAACAAAACGAAACUCUCCCAUGAGAGUAUUAAAAUCACUUAUUUUCCACCUCAGUUUUAAAAUGAGCAAGCAUAGUAUGUAAAACCUCAUUAUUUUUGUGUGACCUAAACCUUCUCUUGCAAAUACAUUAAGUCCAUUCUACACCAUGAAGGAUGAAAGCAAAGCUCUUCAGCCAAUUAGGAAGAUAGCGUGUGCUCCUGGAAGUUAGUUCUACUCUUCUCACUGCUGGUACAGAUGUAUAGAUCCAUGUGUUAUUAUAUAAACCACCGAAUGAGAUGAAUGUAUAAUGCUUUUACAUAAAGUGUAGCAUCCUUUUUUGUGGAUCUUUAGGAAUACUGAGUGAAAUGUUAAUUUUCAGAAGGGUUUUAUUGUGAAGUCACUAUAACAAACAUUAUGUUAAAAGAACAUAUUCCAAUUAAAACUCGUUUCUUGUAUGGCAUUUGAAACAUGCCAUCUGUAGAGAAUGCCAUCCCAGAAUUCAGAGUGUGGUGCCUUUUUGUUAUAUUUAAUACUAUUCUAGUAUAAGUAUGCUUUUAUAGCAAAUAUCUUGUUUGGGAGAAAACAAAAUUCUUAUAAUUGACCCUGCACUUUUAAUUUCUGUGCGUCAUGUAUAAGCAUAACAUGCAUAUGAUAUAUUAAAUAGAUGGAAUGCAAAAAUAUAAUUAUGAGAGAAAUAUAUUAUACAAAGGAAUGAAAAUCUAUAAAUAAAAGCAUGCCCUUUGCUCGACUUGAUUCGUUCAACUAUAGUUUAAAAGACAGUCCUUUUACUUUUGCUAUCAAAAGAGAAAAACAAGGGCAAGCAUAUAUGGAUUCUUUAAUUGCGACAUCCUGACUGAUUGCAAUGUGGUAUCCAACAUGACGCGAUGUUUUGACUACAUGGCUGCAGCAGACUAUAAUUUAAAUGCCAUUAAAGAGACACAAGGCCUAGCACCAAGGCAGGAAUGCUGUGAAAUCUUUUGGUCUGCAGUCACAAUGCAGAUCAAGUUGUUCUCUGAUCUCUCAGUACUGAAGUCUGCUGUCCAGAAGGAAAAUAUUUUUGUGUGUGUGCUUCCGUCUUAAACUAAGACAGACUAGAUUUUCCAUCAGCGUCACCUAGUUAACACCACGUAAAAAGUAGCACACACUUUAUGGAGCAGGGCUUUGUUUUCUCCCAUCCUUAUUUUGGGCUGCAUUCUGAUUGUGUACUGCUGAAAAAAAAGAAUAUGCCCAAAAUCUCCACAUCUGGUAUAAAGAGCCUAGACUCUGAACAUCUGGUAUAAAGAGCCUAGACUCUGAACAUCUGGUAUAAAGAGCCUAGACUCUGAACACAUCCGUGUGCUGAUACAGACCGUUUGUAUGUACUCAGACUGUUUAUAUGUUUUUAUGUUAGGAAGUCAGGACUUCGUAGUUCACUGCUCUUCUCAGUAAUUUUUCUUCUCGAUCAAUGGCGAUAUAUUUUGCUCACAAGGCUAAGCAGAGUGUCAGCACAGUUUGUGCCUCUGAGGAGUCUCAAGAGUUAAAAGAUUGAAGUAAAACAGUCUCCACACCAUAGAAAAGUAUAUGCAAGAUUCUAAGUCACAGACAGAUUACUGAUAUGUUCCUACUUUUGCAUUAAAUUAUAAUUUUAAAACGUAUACUAGCUUCUCAAGGGAAAAAAUGGUCUGAAGAUUUUCCUAGCAGAUUCAUUAUGCUUCCAUGGAAAACCAGACAAAGAAAAAGCCAUUUUCCUUUUAGACAUCUUCUUAUGGUCCAUUAUAUGUGACACUAUAAGAUCUGUCUCCAAAUCAUCUAUUUCAGAUAAUAAUAUGUUGGUGAUAGUUUUCAAAUUUUAGUAUAUUUUAGAUCUCACACAAUUGUAUGGUGACUUUUUUAUUUUAAAAAUGAGUAAUAAAUUCUUUAAAAGAGAGGAGGUUAGAAAUACCUUUACCAAGAUGCAACCUAUCUACUCUCAUAGUCAAUAAACAUUUUUAGUUUCUUUUGUAGGUAAGAACUUCUCAGUAACUAAAGGCAGUCUAUUUAAUAACCAAUGAUAGUUCCAGUCUGGGGAUAUGACUCGGUGGUCGCAGGCUUGCCUGGUAUGUGUGAGGCUCUGGUUUCAAACCCAAGCACUAUACAAAAUAAAAUCUCUCAUUCAAAUUUAUCACGUGGAGAAAUCUUGAUAAUAAACCUUACCAAAGCUGGCUCACAUACUUAGAAUGUCCUGUGCAUAAAUCAUUUCUAAUUUCACCUUGUUAACAUUUUAUGUCAUGACAUAAAAGAUUCUGACAAUGAGCCGUAGAAGUGAGAUGUCUUUGGAAAGUUAAAAGUGAUUUCUGAGGUGUGAGAAAAGCCAAAAACAAUAGGAAGACCAGCUUAAUCAGUUCUGACGCAUAUUGUGUCCAACAGAAACAAUUCGAAGUCAUUUUUGCACAAUACUCUUCAACAAGCAAGCCUGGACCUGCUAAAUGACAUUAUCAUUAGCCUGGCCUUCUAAGCAAUUUCAAGUGGUCUCUAAGCCAGAUAAACAGGGGCAUCAUUUCUGUCUACCCAGAACCAAGUCUAUUGCAAACACUUCUGUUGAGGGAUCUUUAUUGAAAGCUGAAUCUCCUUCUGGGUAAGACUACAGUCUCCUCAAGUGCAAGUCUUUGCAUUCCCCUUUGCACAUGUGCAGACUGGUGGAACUUCACUGCAAAUAGAGUGCCCCGUGUGCUUUUGUUUAAGUAGCAGUGAAAAGGACUGUUUUGUUCAAUGUGUUACAAAGCAUCAACGGUGUGUGAACGGACCAUCAUAAACACAAUUCUGCCGUAUUGAUUCUGAAAAUACCUCACGUGUGUCUGAAUGCUCAGGAAUUGCAGAAACCAGUACAAAACUUGCUCUUACUCACUGUGGGGCAAUGGAAAGUGAAUUGUCACUAAGAGAACAAAAAUGCAGACAGAUAAAGGCAGCAAAGCAAUUGGACAAGAUGUAUUGUGUAUUCUGUAUGUAAUUUUAAAUUGGGUUUUUAAAAAUUCAUCUAAACAUCUUCCUGGGCUUUGUAAUUGCUACUCAGAAGGAUGUGCCCUGGCAAGGGUUUGUAGAACAGUGAAGGUAGAAAAACCAGCCACUAUCCAAACAAAGAUUUGUUUCAAAGUAAGCUAAGCCUUCAGUAUUAAAUGUCACACAAAAAUAUUAGAAUAAUGUCCAGUAACUUCUGGUUAUCAGAGGAACAAUCCUCUAAAGCUAAGCAUACUGUAAAAAAAUUAGUAUCAUAUGAGCAUAUUGUAAAUACACUGUCAAAAAUUUUAGCCAAAAGUGGAUACGUAUCAAAGUCAUUGCAUGAAUGAUACAAGCCUGCUUUAAUCAUUUGAAAGAAAUUGUUGAAUUAUGAGAGAUUAUUAAUCAUUAUAAGUGCAAAAUUAAAAAAUAAUCAAGCAAAGGGAAAUAUUGAAUUAAGUAGCAAAUUAGGGCAAAUAAUAUGCUAUGGAGAAUGUUUUAAUGUUUUGGAGUAUGAAAUGAAAGCAAGAUGAAAAAACAGAAAUAAAAAUACAAUUAGUAAACUAAAUAAAAAUCAUAUGCAAUUAAAUUUUUGCCAAGUGGCACUGUGAGCUCCAGCAAUCCUCAAUCUAUUCUGGAGCAAAUCAGUUUAGUUUCUAGAAGAUUGCUGGCAAUCAUUUUGAUUAACAAAAUGAUUAUAGAGCAUUAGUAAAAUCCAUCUCUUAAUUUUGUGAACAAAACUUACUAAUGCUCUUAAAAUGAGGAUAAUCAUUAUGGAUAUUUUUUGGAGAUGAAUUAAUAGCUAGUCCAUUCAGCACUCACUCCUUUUGAUCAUUUUAAGAAUCAAAGCAAGCCACGUAAACAGCCCUAGUGUUCAUCAGCUUUAAAUCACAAAAUCAUUCUCUACACUUAUUUGAUGUCAAAAGUCAGUUGGAUUUUAUCAACACUUAGUGACUCUGCAUUUCAUUUGGGAAACUCUAGAUUUUUUUUAACUGAUUCCUAAGUAUUUGAAAGUUCAUUUGUUUGUUAUGUGAAGUUCUAUAUGAAAAGAGACAGAAUGGUAAAAUUCUCCCACUUACUGUUUAACUUAAUUCUCUUCCAACAGUUUAAAUAGGACUAUGUCUUGAGGUACACGUCCUUCUAACAUUGAUCACUGAAGAAAAUGAGUGUGUGUGUGUGUUGCUAAGCAAAUGCAACCUACACCACCUGUAAGAAAGUGGUUGAUAUUACAAUGUGUCUCUCAUGAGUAUAUGACUCCAAUAUGUGUGUGGUACCAAAUGGUGUGAUCACUAAUAGCCUUGAUUUUGAGUUCCCAGAGAACCAGAACAAUGAGUGUUCUUUGGAACAUGUGCUUAACUUCCUGCAAUGGGGCAGGAAUCGCAGCUGUGACAGUAGCUGGGGGCUUCCAGAUGUCAAGGCUGUAUGGACUCUGAGGUAAUUGCAGGAAGAAAGGGAUACAAUUUUGUUAUCACUGAUUAUCCUCCCCAUUCAACACCCUGAAUCCAGCAUCAACAACAGCACUUUGUAUAGGCACCUGAUGAGCGAGAGGGCCUGUGUCAAAGAGAUUUGCGCUUUUGCCUCUGUAGAAAAGGAAGGCUAAGAUUGUUAAACUACACAGAAGACAGAAAGAGCAGGAGACACAAACCUACAUUAUUACAAUUAUAACCAUUUUAGUCAUUCUAAAACAAAAGACAACUUCUAACCCUUACUCCCAAAUCUGGAUAUUGUUGCCAAGGUGUUAGAAAACAAUGGUUUAUAAAGCCAGGAAAUAAAAAAAAGUUUAAUUAUUAAUGUUCUAAUAUAGUGUUUAUCCACUGCAUUUGAGAAUAUAAAAUAUUUACUCACUAAUGAAUCAGUACCUCUAUUCAAAAUUCUUCAAGUAACACUAAUUGAAUAGAGGGGAAAAGUUGAUGGCUUUCCAAUAUUCAACAGGAACAAUUACUUUCCAUCUUCCCUCACUAUACAGUCAGAACAACUACAAGAUUUCAGAUCUCUGUAAGCUUUUAUUCCACAGGUACACUCAAGUGGUCAUAAUUCUAUGUGGAAUCUUAAAGCACACAUGUAUCAGUGUGGCAGAAUAUACUGUCAACCGUAACACGUAUUUACUGACAAAUUAGAUAUUAAUUCAAUUGACAAGUGUCUUGGUUUGAAAGGUUUGUGUUGUUUAUUUGAUUAAGUGAUUCAAUGUUCCUGCCAAAUAAGCAGAAGAGUUGGUGCCCUGGUUUAGUGUGAAUGCUAUAAUUCAAUUUUGGAUUCAUUCUUCCAAGCACGAUGAAAAGAACUUCAUAUCAUCUUCAUUUCUGCUGUCUUCAUCUUCUCCUAGAACACCAAGCAUUUCCUAGUUUCUGUGGAAAGCUGCAUGUUAACAGCUGACUGACUGGGUUGCAGCAUAAUCUUCAAAUAAACGGUUACACAGCGAAUGGCACAUUCUUACUUGUGUUUCCGUCAUUGUGUCACAAUGGGAGUGAGGACUAGAAGCUGACUUGUGCCUUAGGCUGAGCAGUCUCUGACGUCUGACUCAGGAACCUCUCAGGUAGCUUGCUUACUCUGAAUGCUUUGAAAUAAUAUACAAAGAAUAAGCAAACACUCAACACCCUGUAGUCUAUGUUUAAUGGCCACAAUUCCCACAGUCUCAUCCACAUUAUCAACUAUACCAUGUGCUCAGGUGUAUGGCCCUCACCAUCAUUGAGGGAAGCCAUGAUAUCUGUCAAGAUAUGCUUUGCAGUUUUAGCUAAUUUAUGAAAUGUCCUCUAUCCCAUGAAUUAGCACUUACUUCAAUUUAUUUGAAUCUUAAUGAAUUAUAAGUACCAGUACUGAGUUAGUAGAAACCUGUAGUACAUGUAAGCAAUAAAAACAUAUAAGACACUGGACAUUCAGGGGAGGUUGAACUUUGAAAAAACAGAGUUGUUAAUUCUUUGAGAGCAUGUGGGACAGAGUUAAUCAAAAAAAGAUGAAUAAAGUAUUGAUGAUGGAUAUUUUUGUUUUUGUGUUACUAUAUACUAUAUACUUUUAAAAUUGGGCUGACUGCCAAUUGUAUUUCAGAAGGGAUUGCCUGUUUUGUUUUUCUCUUAAAGUUUCCUGUCUUUCAAUAUCGUGUGAAGGAUUUUGUAGUAAACAAUUUCAUUUAUAAUCCAUCCAUUCUGCUGGUAAAGCUAAGUUAGUUUAUUACAAAUGAAUAUUUUGAGCUUAUGAACUUAUUUAUUUAACCUGUAAUAGUCUUUGCCAUUUCUAACAAAGAGUAAGUUCUUAGCUCCAACUAAAAGUUGGUUCCUGAGUGUCGGAAAGCUCUGCAACAGUGACCGUUUGACCCCGCUGGACAACUGGUCAUAUAUACAGGUUGUCAGAAAUCACUUGAAGCAGAGAAGCUGGUCCAAAGCUAAGCAAUCUGCAUUUUAACAACCCUUCGAAUAGUCCUGGUACAGCCAAAGUUUGUAAAGCUCUGGUGUGAAAAAGUCUGUGAUAGUGAGAAAUGCCUUUAGCCACAAACUUGCUGAAAGACUACUUUCCAGUCCAUCAUUAAACCAAGUUGUAAUUUCUCUUUGAUGUGAACUCAUUCACUAUAAAAAGUUUCUUGUUCUUUUUUUUUUUUAAUCACAUGAAACAUCUACUAGCAAUAAGUUCUCAUAUCUAUUCACUCCUUUUAUUUCAGAUCCUGUUAUUUACGACCAGGGAAAGAUUCCACUAUAAAUUUAAAGAAUUAUGUCUCAUAUCAAACCAAGCACACUUAUUAUAAACUCUUCAUAAAGAAAAAGAGUAAGCUAUAGGCAUAAUGCCAUUUUAUGAUGUAGUUACUACAAAGUGGAGCUCUAAAGUCUUCUGGCUUUUAUAUCUAACUCUUGACACUACAGAUAUACAGCUGUAUGUUCAGUGAUGCUACAGUUAACUCCUGAAUGGAUACGAGCCCAGCACUUGCAUUAGCGUACAACUAAGGCCCUGGAAGGAAAGCCUGUUGUCUCACCAUACCAUGGUAUGUGCAUCUGGAUGACUUAUUAAAAUCUGAGACUGUAAACACGUUAUAACAUAUAAUGAAGGCAUGUUUAAAUUUUACUGCCUUCACAUCACCUGGUAGCAUAAAGCAGAGAACCACAGAAACAGAAAAACUGACAAAAACUAAAAUGAACAAGGAGAAAAAUCAGCUUUGUCCUAUAGGUACACAAUGGGGAGGCCACAUUACUCACAUACGUGUAAAAGCACGCGAGUGUGCAAACAUAUGCACACUCACUCACAGGGAAAUUACUGAUUUAUUCAGGAAAUUAGUCUUCCUCAGUUAACAGACCCAGAUUACUCAUGUUUGUCAGUGUGAGCUCAAACUACACUGAACUGUCUUAGUAACAUUAACAGUUUUGAAAAGAACAAGCUAAGGCCAUGGAAUGUAUUUUCUGUGUCGUAGUCUCAAGCUGUACUCACAGAGCAUUUUCUUUUGAUGACUCAUCUUCUUGGUUUCUAUGAGACUAUUAUAAUUUUAUCUUUUUCCUUCCAAUCGAAAUCACUACCAGCUUACAAACACAGACACAGACACAGACACAGACACACACACACACACACACACACACACACACAAAAGCAAGAUGUAUCAACUUGGUAGUUUCUCUUUCUGCCUGGGAAGGACCAUGAUUAUAGUCCUAUUUCCCUGGUGAUCAUACAUGUUCGCUUCAAAUUUUCUUCAGUGUUCAAUAUUUUAUGUGUCUUCUCAAGAAACCUAUUUAGUAGUUGGACAAAUUCCAAAUGGAUGACAAAGUACAACUAAUACCACUUUUAUAAGCUCAGUUUCCCAUGGAAUUAUCCAAAUCACCUUACUUUCUUCAAUGUUGUCAAAACUGGAUUCUGAAAACAUGUUAUUAUAUUUAAUGAUAACACAUAAGAAAAGUGUUUCAUAUCCAAAUGAAAGCAAAUAUUUUAUAUCAGCAUAGCUAGGCACUUUGGUUUGCAAUAAAGCAGUAAGUACUAGCCCACAUUCGAUGACUCUUUUUUUUUUUUUUUUUUUUUUUUUUUUUUUUUUUGAGACAGGGUUUCUCUGCAGUCCUGGCUGUCCUGGAACUCACUCUGUAGACCAGGCUGGCCUCAAACUCAGAAAUCUGCCCGCCUCCGCCUCCCAAGUGCUGGGACUAAAGGCGUGUGCCACCACGCCCGUUGAUGACUCUUAAUAGUCUUAUGUUAUCACAUGAGCGAUGCAGGUGAUGGGCACACAGCUAGAACUACAGAUUUAUGUACACACAUAAAAUACUGGUUUGCAGGAGCAUUUCUGCUCUGUUCAGAAAUCUGCUGCAUACACACACACACACAUACACAUACACACACAUACACACACACAAACACAUACACAUUCUCUAUUAAAGUAGGUGUGAAUAUCUAAUAUAACUAACUUUAUGUAUAGAUCAAGGAAGACCAAAAAUAUCUUGCAGGUAGCUCUCAGUCAGGGGGAGCUGGUCUCUGAAGGACCUUCGGUUGUAUAUGAGUGGCUUAGGGAAGGCGGAACUGUCACACAGCAGGUAGGAGCCAAGGCUGAAGAAUCUCCCCAUGAAAGGAAUGAUAUAGAUUAAAAUAUCAGCAGAGGUCAGGAGGAAUGACCCUGACCUAGAGAAAAAUAACAUACUUUUCCCUCAAUAUAUAUUGGCUCUAGGCUGGGCAGUGGUGGCACGCGCCUUUAAUCCCAGCACUUGGGAAGCAGAGGCAGGCAGAUUUCUGAGUUCAAGGACAGCCUGGUCUACAGAGUGAGUUCCAGGUCAGCCAGGGCUACACAGAGAAACCCUGUCUCAAACAAACAAACAAACUAACAAAAACAAAAAACAAAAACAAACAAAAAACAAAAACAAAAAGAUAAAAACAAACAAAAAACAACCAUAGUUGCUAUAAUUCCUCAGUUGCCCACAUGGGAAACGAGAGCAUCCAUCACAGUGGUAUGGCCCCAUAAGACAAGUGAAGUUGCUCUCUACCCAAAGCUCUACUCUAAUUUCCAAGGCCUCCCAAGAGUUUUCACCCCAGUGCAGAAAGCAUAGCUAAUUGGUUUGGAUCAGCAGGACAUCUCCACUGAAGGUUUCGUUUUGUGCUGAAGUUCUGAGUUCUAUAUCGCACACCUUGUGUGAGUGCCCAGGUUGGUGAAUCACCUUCUUGGGAAAAGCAAGCGACUGUGUAAGAUUGCACUGCCCAUUUUGAUAGUGGAGGAAACACUGUUAUCAAUAAGACUUCAUAUAUCAUCUCCCUAUAUUUUCUAAAAUCAGAAGGAUGAGCAAAAACAUACAGCCCAGUUUCUAAAUGAAAUGGAUUAUGAUCAAUGGUCACCUCUCAAUGUGCUUUUAAAACCUCCUGAUAGAACUGGAAUACAUUCUCAUGUAUAUAAUGUGACCCCCUCCCAUAGGUAUUCCCAGAUCUCCCCAACUAAAGAAGCCAUUCACAAUAUAAUAUAAUUUUAUUACAUAAAAUUAACCCUGGAGAAAUGUGGCUGACAGAAUUCUGGUUUAAGUGUUUUCUGUUUUAUUUAGGUGCAACCUCAGUUUGCCAGAUGUUUGUCCUGCAUAGAUAGCCAAUAGCAUCUGUAGGUGGAGACUGAGAACCACUGAAACGUUAUUAUGGCAUCAAAGUGUUUACUUCAGUAAAGCAAAGGCUUUACUGAAGAGACAGCCAUCUUUAAAACAUUUCAAUCAAACCAUCUGUAGAAGAAUAACACCCUGAUUUCUUCAAAACACCUUAGGCUUGCAUUCUUUACCAUAGGAAAGUGUGGCAAGCUUUUUGGAACUACGGCACCCUACUUGCCAAAUUUAAAAAAUCUAUACAAAUUUCUGUGCUGAUUCAAAUAUUAGCAAAUUUUUUAAAAGAAAUUAAUUUUCUUAGGAAAACUAGUUAAUUGGUUUAGGGUUAGAAUUAAAAUUUUAAGUCAAGAGUGGUGACUAAUACCUACAGUCUUAACACUGAAUACAGAGGCAGGAGGAUGAUCAUGAGUUUGAGGCCAGUCUGUGCUGAAGACUAAGAUGUCUCAAAAACAACAACAAAAGAAUGUUAAAAUCUUAAUGUACACAAUUAUUUAUUGGUGUGCUAAAUAUCUUGUUUUUUUUUAAAUUAUGGUAACCAUGUCUUCCAGAAUAAACUGUAUUUCCUACAGAAACCUGCCAAUACUUCUAAAGAUGGGAUGUAUCGGUUGUCUGCCAUGCCUCUUCUCUGUGCUCACAGAGCUACCAGUUCUCGUGGGGAUAUUUAUAAAUGAGAAAAUGGGCUUUCAUCUCACCCAUUUUUUUUUUAACAAAACAAAACCAAAACCACAAUACUGAAACGGAGGAAGGAAUUCCCAAAGGUCUAACACAAUUUAUGCAUGUACUUACCUUCCUGUUGUCUGGGCAUCCUCGUGAGCAAAUCAGAACUACAGGAAAGUGAGCAAACACCUUCAGAACAGGGAAGAAAGGUAAACAGAAGCUGCAGAUGUGUCCCGAAGAAAAUACUCAAUUCUCAGCAGAAUUCUGUUGAUUAUCAUAUGUAUACAGAUGUCAGAAGAUCUGAGAUUGACAUCAGUUUGCUGUGUGAACAAUAUCCUCAGGCAAUUUCAACACACACUCUUGUCUAGGUUGGAUGGUAAUUCCAGUUUACUGUAUGUGUGUCUUGAUAAGGGUAUUUCUCCUCAAACAUUUCUACACCAUCCUCUCUGAGUGUGCAAACCUGUAAUUAAGCUGAUGGCACCCUCUAGCUAGUCUGAUGACCUAGGAGGCAGUUUUAGGACUUCCUGCUUUCCACUUGAUAUGAGUCACAAUGUACAAUUUCUGUGCUUACUAUCAUUUCUAGGAUUCUAUUUAAUUUUCUGAAUAUAAGGAUAUGGCUAAGUUAUAAGCAGAGAACUGCAAGUGCACGCCAGAGCAUGCACCGCUGCCUCUGGUCCACUGAGUAUUCUUUUAGAUGCAGUGUCUUCUUUGAGCUCUCAGCAGGGGCCAGAAGUCAGGGGCCUGGUAACUUAUUUAUCUUUUGUUUUGCUUUAAAGUAAAGAAGUGGAAGGAAGGAGAAUCAAACAUGGAACUGUCAAAUCUAGGAUCCAAUCAACUGGGAAGCGGGGUCACAGGCAUUGGGACUUGGGUACUGAGUGUGGAACGGAUUCAGUGAGGACUUCUCCAUCUUGCCACAUAGCACAUCCUGAGGAGUGGGGUCCUUCUCUGUGCAGUUUGCUCUUCCCGGCUCUGGUUCCAGUCUGCAGUCACCUGACUCCAUGUAUCCCCUGAUUUUGUUACCACCACAGAAAGAGAAAUUAUAGCCUUCAAGCCUCCACUUUCUUUCUCUUAGCUAUAGCCCUCAAGUUCCAAUCUGUCUGCCCAUUUAACACAGUUUCUUUGUUGUUGGUGUUUUGUUUUUUGUUUGUGUGUGUGUGUGGGGGGGGGUUGACUCAGAGUGUCAGGGUGGUUAUACUAAAAACAAACAAACAACACAUAGCAAAAACUACUGUAGCGUUGUGUGUACAUUUUAUACACAGAGAAUUGUAAAGAGUCUUGAAUUUUUGAUGGGAGGAAAAAAGAAAGAAAAGAAAAACACCCUGGUGGGAACACAAAACAGCACAGAGAACACAUAAUCGUGACCCUCAUAACUGAGAUUGCCAUGUGUCGUAUUAAACGCCACCAUUUACCUAGAUGUCUUGCUUGAUAGAGACAGUGAGAUGCCUUACAGAUUUUACACAAACACGUCAUUCAAAGCCUUGCUGAUCUAUUUUCUUGUGUAUGAUGUUUGGUUGGGUCCUUCAAAGGGCUUCAAGGGUUACUUUUAUAUUUACAAAGACUGAAGAUGAAAGCUGUUAUUUGAAUGCAGCUUUGCAUUCGGUGGUACCAAGAUGCUUAUUAGAAGUGCCCUGAUGAGACUGUGGAGUGGCACCUGUGUAUCACUCUCCUCUAGUGUGUACUUAGGUGUUCUGGCUGCCUAAGAAGCAGCUUAGCUUUAAUGAAAGGAUAGUAAACAACAUAAAUUAUAAAAGACAUCUGCUAAGGAGAUCAAGAAAGGGGAGGAGGAAAAAUGUAGGUAAUAAAAAGAGAAAGGGGGUGAGAGAGAGAAGAGAGGAGAAAGGAGAAAGAGAGAGGAGAGAGAGGGAGGAGAAAGAGAGGAGAGAGAAGGAGGAGAGAAAGAGGAAAGAGAGAGAGGAGAGAGAGAGAGAGAGAGAGAGAGAGAGAGAGAGAGAGAGAGAGAGAGAGAGAGAGAGAGAAAUGCUGGAGUGUGUGUACAUGGAGACACUGGGCAGAGAGGAAAGUCUGACAGGCAGAGAACAAAGUGUUUCCAGGGAUCUCAAAGAAAUGGUGAACCUUAAUCACACCCUAAUUUUAGGGUAUAGCGAACCAACCUCUUUAAGUUCCUCAGGGACAUGCACGUACGUAGCUGUGGUUCCUACUGGAUUGCCAUUGAACAUGUAGAUGGAGCUGCCUUCAUUCUCCUUCAUGGGAUUUUUUUUUUCCUUGACUCCAGAGCCUAUGCAAAACAACAAAAAGACCCUCUCUUGAACUCAGGCAAACUAUCCAAAGCUCUUUCUUACCUUUCACAGGGAUGGCUUCCUCUCCAACAGCCCAUAAGGACUGCUCACUUGGACCCUCCUACACUUUGCUAGCUUAUGAUUAAUUUUAGCAGCCCAGAAGUUGCCAACUUUCAUAAACACACCUUUUCAAUUACAAGAGUCCUUGUUAAAGGUAAGCUAAUAAUUUUAGCUACCUCCAGACUAUGAUUUAACUAUGAAUAUUCCUUUUCCACAGAAAACUAACCUUGUGUAUUUCCAUCCAAAAAAGCAUCUAAAAUAUUUUUAAAUGCUUCAAUUAUCAAUGAAAUUUACUUGUACUCUAAAAUAUCUUAAAUAUAUAGUUUAGCGUUUUAUUAUCUCAUUUCUUUGAAGAGUCAACCUUACUAGUGGCAUCGUGCUAUUUUAUACAGUUCUCACAGCCUGUGAUCAUUGUUGAAAUGUUGAGUUCUCAGGGAAGAAAUAUUGUGAUUCAGUAAUGUGAUUUGAAUGUAAAAGUGUUUCCUAUCAAUAUUGAAUUAGAGAAGUCUAGCAAACUAGGAAAAAAAAAGGAAAAAGAAAUAAAUAAUGCCUCACUCCCCCCAAAACAUUGUUUCUUGUUGCUGAUUAUUGAUUUUUCUUAGGUUGAUUAUUGUGUAUUUUUUCUUUAAAUGUAUUUCUCUUAUUUUUAUUCCCAAAGACUGUGGCUAUGGCUGUUUUUCUUCAACGCUAUCUUUUUUAAACCUCAUAGCCUGUCCUUUUCCUGGAUAGUCUGCUUUCAGUGUCUUUUGGAUCUGAGCUCUGGGAGGUCUCUGAGGAUCCAGCUCAAGAGAGAGAAUGACCCUGUUGGCAAGCAGUAUGACUCAGGGUAUAAACCACUUGACUUGUCCUCCUGGCAGAGGCUCCCCUGGCGUGGGGAGAAGCUGAAGAGGCCUGUUUUCUAGUUGAAAGUUUCCCAUCAUGCCAGUCUCCUUCAGCCUGUGUCACUAAGGAUUCCAUUACAGUUAGUAGAGCAGUGGUCAAGGUCGGAUAGAGAAAAUCAACAGGGCUGAGUAAGCAUGGUGUGUAUACUUUAAAAAAUUUUAAAGCCGAGUCUUGCACUUCAAGAUACAGAAUGUUGAGAUAUUAUGAGAAGAACACACACCCAUAGCUACUGCAGUAGCCCCAGUGCAGAGCCCUGGACUGCUUUAUGCCAGUGAACAAGCAAGAGACAUAGACCCUCUUAGCAUAGUGUGCGCUAAAGUUUGUAAGGCAAUAAAUAUCUCACAUCCUUUCCCCUCAGCACAUACAUCUGCAUUUAGAGAGGGAGGUUUCCUCCAGAUAUUGAUCUCCAAAGGUGAGCUGCAACUUGUAGAAUUCUUCAUGUUCUAGGCAGGAGGACUGAGAUGACAUCAAAGGCAGAUUGCGACGUGGUUUAAUUGAGAAUAAAAGUUAUGCUUCCAGCCAAGCUGGUGUUUGUUUUCCACAAGUGUACUGAUGUUUUCAGUCCCCUUUAGGUGGGGGUCACUUUAACACCAAAUAUGAAGUAUGAAUUUUGAUGACUAAUAUUAGCAAUAUCUUUAAGAUGCUAAUGUCCUUCCCUGUUGAUCAUAAUAGCUAGCCCUAAAAUGUGUGUGUGUGUGAAUAGAGUUUAGAUAAAAUAGUUAUGCGAUUACCUAAUAGCCUCAUUAUCCUUCAUGAUACUUCUUUUUGAAUUCUCAAGUGUUUUGUAAUGCCUCUCAGCCUCCCUCCCCUCCCCCUCCCCUCCCUCUUUCCCUCUUUCUUUCUUACCCUGACAUUUCCAGAAGCUAAAGAAAUUUAAGAAUUGCAGGAUCUUGUAAAAGGUACAGGAAAGUACAAACUGUGUUUAUUUGUUUUUAAAUUUGUUAUAUAAUUUAAAAAAAAAGAUUCCCAGUGCAAUUUCUUGGUCUAUUACCCCUGACAGCUACGAUUAAUUAUAUUUUAACCUGUUAAGGGCUCACUUUCUCAAGUAUAUUAAACUAAGUUUUCUGCAAACACUGAACUCAUCUGAGUAGUGGGGAUGGGUGUCCAGGCAGACAGGAAGAAAAGCACACUCUUUCUCAGUAGACAGCCUUUCUUUGUCUCCCAGCCCUGGCCUUUGCACCUACACAUUGCCUGGCAUGACGGGGAGGCCAAGCAGAUGGCCUUCGCUGUGGAAGCCAGGGCUCUGGGCCCACGAGAUGAAACCUGCAUGCUUGGGAAGGCUGAGACAGUCGCCAAGGUUUCAUGUGUAAUAAAGUACUCGCUGCCUCUCCAGUAAUGAUAUCCUGGGGGCUGCUGUGAGGAGGUUCUUUUCACUAGAAACAUACUCGUAGGAAUUUAAUACUAUCUUGCUAAACCCUUUGAUUGAAUAAGGUUUUAAUUUUUUAAAAAAAGAAUUCUUCUUACUUUGUAGACUCCAAGAUGUGAGCAAGUAUGAAUUCUUACUCUAGGAUCAACAUCUCUACUAAGCUCGGGAUUCUUUUGCCUUCUUAAUCACGCGCUUCAACAAAUAAAAUAUCUUACCGUUGCCUGUCUUUUUUCUUUUUUUUUUUUCCCCCUUUUACAGCCUGCCUGAAAUACUCUUCGGUUAAAUAAUAUUUGUUAGGCUUUGAUGCAAUCAAGUGAAAUUUGAGUCUUCGGAGCGAUUCAGCCUCGCCUCGUGGAGACCGCACAUGUGUGUCAGCUUUGAGUUUUUCUCACCAGUGUUUUACACAUGAAAUCUAUUUUUCCUUGAGAAAAUGGAAUCUUUGUGUCUUUGUCUGGAAGGCUCGCUGUGCUCAGGCGUGUUCCGGCAGGAGCUGUGACUGCCAAGGCCCUGGGGGAGGGGCCUGGCAGUCAUUUGUCAGCUGUCCUGCAUCUGUAAUUUCUGGCCACUCAGCACUAUCAGAGUCUUAGAAACGGGGCCCGAAGGGUGGGGGAAAGAGCUUGUCAUUGAUGAAAGACAAACCCCAAAUAACUGCCUGAUGUUGAUGACCAAAGGGAAGAGAGAGUAUGAAAAACUUUUAUUGUGUCCUUUAAUGAAAAGGAUUUUCAUUUGAAAUAGCUAAUUUAUGAAAUUGCACAUGGUAACAUUUCCAGAUCUCAGUCUAGAAAGGCCGUGUCCAUAUUGUGUUACCAAUUUCACUGCUUUUACCUUGGCAAGCGCUCCUGAAAGUAUUUUAAUUUUCUGCCAUUGACUUCUGGUUAUUUCUGCUCUUGUGCCCUUGUAACAAAACUGACAGCACAAUUAAACAUCUGCAUUUUAAAACUGGGUUUCUCCCCUGACUAUUUUGCUUUGCUUCUAAAAUUUCCAGAUGUUUUGGGUUCUUUAUGAUUUUAAUGUAUGCAAAUACAUUUGCUUAUACUUUAGAGAAAAUGGAGAGGGAAGAGAGGGAGGGGAGGGAGAAGAGAGAGACAAAGACAGAGACACAGGGAGACUGAGAGAAACAGAGACAAGACAGAGUAUAUACUAACUUGGAUUGAGCAGAAGAAAAGCUUAGUAAUAAUACAUCAAGCAGCAAAUCAAUAUUUUCCCCGUUUGUAGAUUUACAUUAGAAUACAUUGUGGUCCUUAGCACUUUACUAUUUUAUUUGAAUUUUGCAACUCAGUUUUGUGACUAGAAUUCGGGAUUCACACCUCGGUGUCCUCAUAACUGGGUAGAGGCAUGCUACUCUCUGUCUUUUCAUUUCAGGGAGAGAUAAGUUGAGGGGUAGGAGAAGAAACAAUGUAUUUCAAAUGAGCAUAUGGCUUUGUGGAACUUAAGGGGAUUGUCAGUAUCUUGCCGGAAGUGUUUGAACGUGAGGUAUAAGAGUGUCCCUAACAUUUUAAGGAAGUCCAUUUCCCAUAAUUAAUAACAGGAAACUGGUAAACAGAUUCUUGUGUACAAGUGAAUCCAAACGGUAACAUAAACGAAAGCAAGGAAAGACCCAAACGCACCUCGUUCAUUUACUCCCAAGGAUUAUGUUGUGGUAUCCAAGUGGUUCAGGCCAGAAAGACUUAGGAGAUGUGUGUUGCCAUAAUCCUUGGGAGUAAAUGAGUACUCAUUUUCCAUUCCUGACUGUCUAGGACAUGUGCUAGGGAGAGUGCAGCCAUUUCUUCCAUAGUCUAAGGUCUGCAAGGGAUCUCAGACAACUGACAUAGUUAGUAGAAAAAUGGCAAGUAAUUAUGAAGGAAGACAAUGUAUUAUAAAAAUAUUAUUUUAAUAUGUUUAGGCCCAUUUCUACUGUAUCCUAUGGGAGAUGGUAAGACCUAGUAAGGGAAUUUGUGUACAUUUAAGGUGUUUGGAGAAGUCGAUGAGUAGAUUUGUGAGUCUCAAACUAAAUGCAUCAUUAAUUAGACAGAUAACAGGGCAGGGCGAUUGACCCACUUCUGCACAGAGCUCUGGGCUAAGCUCUCUGAGAACUGACAGGUCUUUAUCUUCUAAUUGUAUCAAAAAAUGGGGACUGUCUGAUCCCAGCGCUGACCUUGAAAGCAGCAAACUGAAGUGAUAUAUUGUGUCCCUGGGUUUUGGGGUUUUGUUUUCUUUCUUUCUUUUUUUUUUUUUCUUUUUUUUUUUCAGAAAUGUUGAAUUCGAUCUCAAAGUUUGAAGUUUCAAAAGCAGAAUUAGCUGCUUUAUUUAUAUUGAAUUUUUAGAGUGAAUCAUUUCCUCUCUGAAGGGGAACAAAGGCCUGUAAGAGAAAGGCGAUUGCCCUGCAAAGGUUAAACAUAAGACACAGCCCAACUAAAAGUGCAUCCUUACUUCUGUAAGAUGGGGAGAAAAAGAAGGAAAGCUAACCAAGGUGAGGGUCAGUUUCAUUUAUUAGGUCCAUGCAGUGUAAGUGAGAAUGCAUGCUACCCAUGCUAUCAGAGCAGACACAGCUCCACGGUACCAGGGAGCUGCAGACAUCAGACCAGGCCUUAGUUCCAGAAAGACGAGGCUAAACAAUGCUCUGCAUGGCAGGGCUUCUGGGAUGCACAGACUCAUAGAUGACCCUGGACUUGUAAACCUUGCCAUCUUAGCCAACCCGUCAGCACCUAUAGAGUUAAAGCAGAGAAGUUGCACUAAACAUUAAAUAGGCCUAAAUAUUAGUGUGUUUGUGUGUGCACACACAUGCUUGUGCACAGGCAUGCACACGUGCUCGCGUGUGUACGUGCAUAUGGAUAAAAAGAAGUGGAUAUGUCUCAAUUUAUCUAUCUAGCAUGUACAUUAUCUGUGUGAAUUUUAAGCAAUGAAGUGAGUAUGUAAAAACACUUAAAUUGGAAAAAUAAGAAUGCAAUUUUGUCAAGUUGGAUAAAAUAAAGAUAUGGUUUUGCUAAACCAAAGAUAAGAUAAUUUUCUAGGCUGUUAAAUCUUAGAAAGCCUAGAGGUAAGAAAUAUAUGCAAAAAUUAAAGUGAAAUAUUUAAGGCAUAUUUUGUUAAGGAUAAGAUGGACAAUGUACAGGGUUGAUUAUUAGCAAAAUUUCAACAGUGUAGUAUUCUCUCAGAUCUCCAUAGAGACAGAUGCAUGCUAGUUAUACGUUGAUAUUUUAGAAAUCAUAAAAUAUGUUCCUUUGUAUUUAAAGUAAAGAUCCUCACUGGAAGCUUUUUAAGGAUAAAGUACAAGGUUUAUUACUUAGUUUUAAACUAUUAUUUAGUUUAAAUACUAAAUAUAAUUUUACAUGAAAGCAAAUGAGGGCUGUAGUUAUAGAUAUGUAAUCAAGUGAGUGCUGUAUGUGGGUUUGAACACUCUGAGAUUGGGGAAGGAGAGGGAGGGAAGGAGAGAGGGAGAGAGGAGAAGAAGGAGGAGGAAGAAGAUGAAGAGGAGGAAGAAGAAAUUAAAAUUAUUUAUUUUUUACAGGAUCAUUCACUCUGUCGUAUGCUCAUGCUGUAAUAUUUAAAGAUGUUCAUUUGUGAAAAUCCUUUGUCCUAAGAAGUAUGUAGUUGCUGUGAGUUAGUGUUCAGUAGAGUGAUCAAAGCCACCAAGACCUGGUUAGGCUGAUUUCUCAGGUUGUGUAGAACUGUUGAUGGCUGUGACAACGGUUCUUCCUUGCGCUGACGCCAGUAGAACAUAAUGGUUAAGACCCUCAAAGAGGCUAACAGGGGAAAUUUAGUAUAUUUUAAAAAGAGAACCACAAAAGGCCUUGUGCAUAAUUGUCACACCAAAUCAUCUUCUUGGUCUAGGAAAGUACUAAGACUGUAGUGGUGGCUCUGUGUAUCAUCCACACACGAGGGGACCGAGACAAGGAAGAGCAUCACACUUGGAAGCAAGCUUAGUCUCCAGGUAAGUUCUAGGGCAGCCUGAGCUACAGAUGGAGAAUCCAUCGCAGAACACAAAACAACAAAAUUUGCUUUACUUCUUAAAAAUGACAUGUAGAAGAAAACAAUAUUAUAGUGUAUGAACUAUAAUAUUGUGUAUUCCCCCGGAGUUGGACAAAUGUCUAUAUCAAAAGGGGCUGUUAGCGUAGGUCAGUGGAGGGCUGACUGACUCGAGUAUACACGACCCUUGACUGAAGAGCUAAGAUUUAUAAAGCAAAGUCUUUAUUUAGGUCUACGGAAAUGAUCUCAGCUCAGUUUCAAACAAUAUGGACACCAGUUUCACUCUCCUGUUUGUUCAUCCCUUCAGUGAGUGACAGAUGGUUUCUCUGUCUUCUCUUCUAUUUUUCUCCUGCUUCUCAUUUAUUUUUCAGUAACCUGUUUCAAAAACACCGAGAAUCUGCUUCCUGGGUCUUGAGUCUGCUAUUUGUUUAUGUACAAAUUUUCUUUUGUCCAUACUUAAAAGAGAUAAAAAUGCUUGCAUAUAGAAGGAAGCUAGCAAGAAUUAGCCUUAGCAACAAUGUAACACAACUGGUUCAGAACGAAUUUGUAGUAGGAGCCAGAAGGCUUCUGUAGUUUGAAAAGUAUCAACUGGGCCUUGGGCUAGCCUCAUGAACAGAAUACACGGAAGAGGAGUGAAGUAGCUAGUGCUUUGGUGUAUUUCUUUCACAUAAUUCAGAAGUUUGGACAUUCCCUUCCUGUUCCUUCUGAAGAUUGCUUAUCAUCAAGCAAACAUCUAAGACUGUCUCACAGUACCCCAAACAGGGAUGUUCUUUCAAAUUCUGGAGAUCCUUUUGUCUUGCGUUUUUGUGUAUUUAAGUGACCACAUCCCUACACAUUUCCUGUCUUUGUCAUUUUUUUCUAAACACUGUAACCUGUAAUAUACACUGGGCCCACAGGAAGAAAUUAUGUUAUUUUGUUAAUAAUGUGCUAGCAGCAGACAUUAUUAAGACAGAGGAGCAAUUUUUAACAUCUUUUCAAUCAUAAACAAAUGAUGGUUGUAAUGGCCCUGCACUGAACUAACAAUUAAAAUUUUACAGGCAGUAUAAUUAUAGGUCAGGAAUGGACAUAUAUAAUGUAAUUAAAUAUCAGAAUAACACUCAUUUUUCCCAUGAUAAAUAACAGAAUCUACUCAAGAUAUAUUAAAAAGAAUUGUCUGCCUCAUAACAAGAGCCAGUAAGGUUUCAUUGCUGCCAGAGAAUUUCUUCCUUCAGCUGCCCCUUUCCCACCAUUUACAAAUAGAAUCAAAUCCACUUGGCUAGACAUGGAAAAUUGUGUUUAUAAAUUCUAAUUUUAGAAAGCAAAAAUACAGCAUUUGUCUUAGUGGCUUAACAAGUAUUCAUAACAACCCCACCUAUAGUACAUUUUUAAAAAACUAAUUGAGCCCUGUUUGUUUUUGACAAAAGUCUAUAGCAUUUCAGAAGGCAAUUUUAAGUAGAAGUUGUGUUAUUAUUAUUAUUAUUAUUACUAUUAUUAUUUAAAUCUAAGUAAGAAACAUAAAUGUUGCUUGAAAAGAGUCCCAAUAUUAAUGAACUCUGGAUUCUCAGAAUAGUCUGUAGAAAAACCAAGCACACGUGAUUCAUCUCAAAUUUUGCUUGCUGCCUGAUAAAUGAUUUGUUGAAAACUUAUUCUCACAUGAGACACAUGCUUUCCUUCGCAGAAAAUGAGAGAAUGCGCGGGCAGCUCUUGAAUUGAAUGGGUGCUACACCAUUUGGCGUGGGCUGCAGCUGCUCCAGAGAGUUUUCAGUUCUGCUUUUCAGGGUGAUGGGACAUGCUUACGCCCACCUACAGAUGAGCAGGCAAAACACCUCUGCCUGGGUCUAGAGAUUCUUAAUUCCCUCCCUAAGUACCAAUCACUCUUAAAAACAGGCGGUGUGCCUAUAUAUAUGGCAAGUCUGAUGACUUCACUGGAUUUUCACAUUUCCUAGGGGAGGAACAGUCAUCUUUAGUCCUUUAUAUCAAAGAAGAACAGGGGUAUUGGAGGACAAAAUUCUGCCUCCACCCUCUGGUUAUCAUACCAACUCCUAUAGUUCUAGACUAAAAGUUAUUUCGCUAAAAUGCUCAAAGCAAUACCAUUGAAAUUAAAUUUACUUUUUCCUUUAGUCAUAUUUUCUUUUAUCAUUCAUCAUGAAGUAAUAUGUUUUAAAAGAAAAUUUUUCCUAACACUGUGGAUUAUAGUAGUAAUUAGCAGUACACUGUAUUUACCAAAAUACUUUCUUUAUUUUCAUGUCAUGUUGUUAAUUUCCCAUCUGUAAUCUAAGAAGUAUUCGUCUAUGGCUUGAUGUUCUGUGGAAAAAAAUAUCUUUUAUGCUUGUUAUAGGCUUAGUAAAUUUAAAUGUUCAAAAUAUUUGCAGUUGUAAGAGAUAGAAUAUUUUAAUUAGAUUGGAACCUGCUGGACCCUGAGCCUGAAGAAUGUUACCACAUUCUAUUGUCCUCUUCCCUGUACCCACUGGGAUCAUCAGAAAAAAAGAAAUGCAACUCUUCUAUAAUCUUUUCAAAAUUAUAUAAAAUUUGCAACAGUGCUUAAGCAUCCGGGAAUUUCAUAAAUAUUAUCUCCAAAGAGACAGAAUCGAGCACCAAUAGCUCUGACAGAACAAGUGAUUACAAACUACACUUCAGCAAGUGUGUGCGCGUGCGCUGUAGUGCCUCUGCAGCAAGAAAAAGCUCGGGUUUCCCUUCCCUCCAACAAGGGAAGGAACAUUGAAGAGAAACAGUAUUUUCAUUGGAACAAAAUGGACACACCUGGUAAGGGAUGGCCGUGUUCGCAGAAAAUGCUCCACUUGCUCUUGGUUCUCCUUGCUGAGGGUGGUCUGUACAACUCAUGAGACUUCUUUCUCUAUUCUAGGCAGUCCUUCCCUUUUCCACUAAACACAAAUAACCUCAGGCAGAAGAAAAGAAGAACUCCCUACUCCCUGCACUCUUCUGCCUCCCACACUUACUUCCUCUGAUCAGUGAGUCAAACCAUACUAAGGACAGAAUUUGUGAAAAAACAAAAACAAACAAACAAACAAACACCCUAAAGGGAAUAAAGAAACACCCAAUACAUCAUUACUAGAGAAGAGAAGUGUCUAAAAUUAUCUUUGAACACAUACAAGCAUACAAGAUGCUCACUUCUUUUGAUUUAAGAAUAAGCCAUUGGUAAACAUUAUUAAAUAAUCAAUUAUUUAGCUUCCCAUGACUAAUGGAAAAGAUGGAGUACUUUUCGUUUGCUUUGCUUUACUUUGCUUUGUAUUGGGGAGGGGCUUUGUUAGAUUGAACUUCGCUGAUUGUUUAGAAAGCAUGUUUCAUGUCCAACUCUCUGUUAUUCUAGUUCUUUCUUGGCAGAGCAAAUGAAGGAUGUAAAUGGUGCACAGCACAUUGAGUUUCCAGAGGAGGAGGUUACAAAAAAGAAUGAAGUGAAUAUCGAACUCAGGAGGCAGAGAGUCACCCUGAGUCAGAGGUGAGCCUCCUAGAGUAUGUGAAAUGAACAUUGUGUGUGUGUGUGGGGGGGGGGGGGAUGACGCACAUGUAUGUGAGAGGAAAGACUUUAGUAUCAGUAUCUGGUUUUCCUGACUAAAACUAAGCAGCUGUAAAAUGUGCUAGCAUGCUAAACACCUAGGUGCCUAACAAUGACUAAACUUGUAUUCAGGAAUAAUAAGAAAAGAAUAAGCAGGAACUCUGUUGUUCUGAUAUGAAUUCUCUAGUCCAAUAUGGUCAUUUUAAUGAAAUCUUUUGGCAAAUUUAUUAAUGUGUUCAAGAAAUGCAUGGCUGGUUAAAGAGGCAUUUUGGGAGAAAAAAAAAAAACAUGUCCUUGGAUAAUGUAUCAGAAUAAGCAAAUAUGUCAAUAACUAGAACUAGCAAUAAACUUAUAUUUUAACAUUUAACAACUUGUUUAGUGUAUCUCUGGGUACCCUUUUUGUGACUAUGCAAAUUUGAAAUACACAUAUCUUAAACCCAAGUAACAUGGGCAACAUGGCUCACAGAGACUUAGCAUAGCCCUGUACAGAAUGUUAGCUGUAGAUGCUCAAAAUGUCUUGCUGUACAUGGGUUUUCAGUACACAAAAUCCAAAGCAUAGCUGAAAAUCAUGCUGCCCAUUUCCUUCAAACAAAUUAGAAGUUCUUUAUGAAACCAGUCCUUUAACAUCCAUUUUGUCCAAAAUCUGCUCAAAAUACUUUAUACAUUAACUCAAAUCUCUUCUUGGAUCUGUAGAAUAAAAACACAGGGAAAAUGUGAAAUUUGGUGGCCAGAACAGUAGCUUUGAAGCUCUGGGACCUGGCAUGACUCGUGACACAAAGCAUGUCACCCAGGCCUCUCUGAGAGCUGGCUUAAUCCUGACAUUGAGCUCCCUGGAGAAUAAGUUGGAGAAUAAUUAUCCUAUGAAUGUCAUACAAUGGAACCUUCUCAUAAGGACACUUUUUAAAUCAACAUCAAGUUGAACCUUAGUACAGUCUUGGGGAAAAAUAAAACCUUGGUGCCAAUUUAACUAUUUCCAAGCUCCAGCUACGUCUUGACAUCUACACUGCCGUGCACACCCUGGGGAAGCACACUGUUCUAAAGGGUGUUCUCUUCACCCUUACACAAUCCUUCCAGACCUGUUCUACAACAACAGUCAUGAUGUCUUGUUGGCAUAAAAGAGAAAUCACACAGACCACUGUUCAAACAUUUUAACAGCUUUAAAAUAAAACCUCAAAUCUUACCCAUGGCUAUAAGUACCCUACAUGACCCGCCCAUUCACUUCUUCAUUGUGCCUCUUACCACCCCCUUCCUAGUCACUCUGUUUUGACUACAAUGACCUCUUUGUUCUUCCCUGUUCACCAUAAUGACGUUUGUAUUUCAGGCCAUUUAUACUCCUGUAUUUCUGGUCUUGAAAUUUCUGGAGUUUAUGUUUUCCCCAAAUCUUUUCGUUCACAACUUAGGUAAAAUAUUUCUUAGGUGCAUCUUUCUCAACACAUGUGUAUAUAAUCUCAAAGCUCACUUUCACUGAACUUUGAUUUCUCAUCUCAGUAUUUAUGGCAUAUAUGGUUAUAUUCUAAUAUGUCUGUAUGGUGAGCUAGGAACUUUGUUAACCAUUUGUUUACCAUUAUCUCCUAUGCAUUGAGAAGACUGCUAGGAGUUAAAUGUGGAAUCAAUAAAUAUUUAUUGAAUAAAAAGAAAUAGCUAACAAUCAGAUGCAGAAGAAUAGAGAGCACAUGACCUCUUUGGCUUAUAUUUAUUUCUUGAACUUUCCAGUCAUCUCUUCUCCUGGUUAUAUAAUGGUACUUCUAUUUUAAAAUGCCUGUGCCAUGGCUUAUUUGAUGAGCUCACCAUUGUACUCUAUAAUGAUUGAUGCCAUUAUCUUCAAUACUGGCCAUUUGCUGAACACAGACUUACAAAGUCAUGGAAAAUUAGGAAAAUGAAUUUAUAUAAUAUAAAUCAAACAACUCCAAUCUGAAUUUCAAUUACAAAGGGUAGUUUUAUUCAGACUGUUGAAAUAAAUAAGGCUCUUUGAAUGCUAUCAUUCAGACAGAAAGAACUUGGUACUUUCAAUAUUUCUAGAGAUAUUUCAGUCAUAGGAUUGCCUCUUUGAUGUCUUCAUGGUUGUUUUUCCCCUAAGUCCUUACCCAUUAAUUCAAUAUUUCAAUAAACAUUCACUUGGCAUUCACUGUAUCAAGGGCUUCUGUUGAGGAAAUGAGACCUCCAUUUAUGGAAUAGUCUUCAAAAGAUGAAGAGAUACUACAAAAGGAAAAUACGAUAAGUAUUAUGAACAGGAUAGAGCUAUAAAGUUAUUGGACUUUAAAGGGAUUCUAUUUGUUAAGUAUGGUUAGGGGAGAUGAAUCUUAGAUGAUUCAAUCUCAGUUGGACUGCAUCUGAGUGUUCAAAAAGAAGUAAAGAAAAAUCAUUUCAAUAGGAGGAAAUAGCAUAAGCAGCCAUGAAAGCUAUAUGGGAUCAUCAAUAGCUUCACAUAAUGAUAGGAAACUUGGGCUAUGAGUGUUUAUAUGCCUACACUGUAGACGAGGGUUCUUACUCUUUUAUAAAAGCUAAAUACGCUUGGAUACACAGUGGACAUGUGUUCUUCAAGAAAAAAUUAUUUCUAUUGUUUUCUCCAGGUUAUAAUUUAAAAACCAAAAGAAAUUCUCAAAGAUCAAAGUAGAUUAGAAAAGUCACCAAGUAAUAUACACCAUUGAGAAGAGUGGCCACAUGACCAGCUUUGAGCUCUUGCAGAUAGAAAUGACAUAAUCGUUAAAUGAUUCUUUGACAUUGUUGUAAUCAGGAUAUGAGGGACAUACUGCUUAAAUUUGUUAAAGUUAUCAGGGAUCAGCCCAUAUGGUGAGAUGUGUACAUGUGCAUGAACAGUGAAGUACUUCUAGUUUUGCAUGCCCAGUGAGUACACACCUGGGAAACAUGCAGACCCUUGCAGAAAUCUGCUCUUCUAUUUUGGUAUUUCUAGUGAGCGGCAACAGGUUGUCUCCCAUGUGCAAGUAAUUGCAACUCCACUAUAAAGUUCUUGAUCUGGUCCAACUUAUUGUGUUGUGUUCUACAUACAGAAAAGCACAAUCCUUUUUGUUGUUGGCGGUGGUUACUUUUAAAUAUUCUUGUAGAAACUGGAUCCUUAGCAAGGAAGAACAGCUAUGAGAGUUGCUGGAAUGAGCAUUGCCAUCCCUUCUUUGAGGAGGCUCCUGAGAAUCAAGGGUGACUAGUGAACGUUCUUCUCAUGUGCACUACAGGUGUGCUUUAUACUCACAGGCAUAACGUUACAUUUAGUCUGAAACCACACUGAUUGGUUUGUCUGUAAGGACAGGGCUAACAAGGGGAAACGGCUACUUAUUUUUAAUUCCUCAAUUAACAACAUUACAUUUCAUACUCCAACCCUAGUAUCUCAUUUCAGGAAACCUGAAGUAACUCAUGUGAAUGAGUGCCUGAAUUCACCUUUGGAAAGGUAAACUCCAUCCUCUCAUACUUGGGUUUGUCACCUUCUAAUGGCUGUCAACUCUCUAAUAAAAGUACUUGCAAAACACA